RNAcentral lists this long non-coding RNA (60087 nucleotides) under Eucalyptus grandis. Its description in RNAcentral is "long non-coding RNA (EGRA_LNC001134)". Lineage: Eukaryota; Viridiplantae; Streptophyta; Magnoliopsida; Myrtales; Myrtaceae. The record is from RNAcentral.
CCAUCGCCGCUGCCGCGGACCUGCGAGCCCUUAUCAUCGAUGUUUUCUCAGAUGCCGCCUUCCCUGUGGCGGCCGCCCUUGGCGUCCCGACCUACUACUACUUCACCUCGGGUGCCGCUGCCCUCGCCGCCUUCCUCCACCUUCCAACCCUCCACGGGAGCACCACCAAGAGCUUCAAGGACCUUGGAGACGAGACCGUGAACAUUCCUGGGUUGCCUCCAAUCAAGGCCUCGGACAUGCCGGGGGGCAUGCUUGACCGAAGCUGGAGAAUGUACGGCUACUUCUUGGAUGCUUGCAGGAACAUGAUCUCGUCGUCCGGCAUCAUUGUUAACACGUGCGAGUCGCUUGAGAGUCGGAUCAUCAGAGUCAUCAAAGAAGGAUUGUGCGUGCCAGACCGGCCGACUCCGCCUAUUUUUGCCGUUGGGCCUUUGGUUGAGUCAAAGGUUGACGGCGACGAGGGCGGUGGCGACAAGAGAGAAAAAAGGCACGAGUGCUUGAGUUGGCUCGACUCGCAACCGAGCCGAAGCGUCGUGUUCUUGUGUUUUGGCAGCGAGGGAAGGUUCUCCGCUGCGCAGCUGAAGGAGAUGGCCUCCGGUAAGCUUUCGUUUCGCGCAAAAAUUACUUCACGUACCGCUGCUUAAUUCAAAUUCAACUGUCCUGUUCAUUAGGUUUGGAGAGAAGCGGGGUGAGAUUCCUGUGGGUGGUGCGGCCUCCGCCGCGGGAUGCGUCCGCAAAAUCAACAUCGGGGUCAAACGAUGGCGACGACACGAGCAUAGAGAAGUUCAUGCCGGAGGGAUUUCUGGAGAGGACAAGAGAGAGGGGGAUGGUGGUGAAGUCGUGGGCACCGCAGAUACAGGUGCUGAGCCACGGCUCGGUGGGCGGGUUCGUCACUCACUGCGGCUGGAACUCGACUAUCGAAGCAGUGCACGCCGGUGUGCCAAUGGUGGCCUGGCCUCUCUACGCGGAGCAGAAGGUGAACAGGGCGUUUCUCGUGGAGGACGCCGCCCUGGCGCUCCCACUGAGCAUGUCGGACGAGGACGGGUUCGUGAGUGCGGACGAGUUAGCCAAGCGGGUCACCGAGCUGAUGGUGGGCUCGGGAGAAGGAAAAGUGGUCAGAGAGCGGGUCUUGGCCGCAAGAGACGGCGUGGUGGAGGCCUUGAGCGACGGCGGAUCCUCUCAGGUUUCAUUGGCCGCGGUAGCGACACUAUGGAAACGAGGCUGAGACCCUAGCGCACUCACUGUCAAUCGAUUAGCUGACCUCAAUAGGGAGGUGUCACAACGACCAAAUUAGAGUACUAUGUCAUAAGGAUGAGCAUCCGUCGAGGAUUACCCAUGGACCUGGAUCAGCCUAAUUCGGCUUAUCUUGAUCCGGUUUUUAGGGAAACUAGGGGGAUCCAUGGACCAUGUAUUGUGCGUAUUGAUUCUCAGUUUUGACAUUUUAGAAUUGAUCCAACUCGAACCAAUCUUUUAUAUAUAUUCUCUCUAUUCUUCUUAUGUGGUUCUACUAGGUAGAUUAGGAAGUAAAAACCCAUCCCUGAUUUAAUCAAAAAAAUAAUUAAAAAAACCCCUCUUCGCUCACCUCGCUACUCAUCUCACGAACGCUGCUCAACUAAUGAAAUCGCUCACCUCUCUCAGCCCGCCUUACAAACACAGCUUGCUCACCUCUUAAAUUUCACAUAAUUAUUUUUUAUGGUUUGUUGUUUAUAGCAAAUAAAGAACUAUGCGGUGCAAUCUUGCCAAGUUUUUUAGACAAUUUCAAUGAGGAAAAGAUGAGACAAUAGCACUAAAGAACUGGCAAUUACAAUCUCAUGGCGAGAGCGGCUUUUGCUCGUGGUAUCCCUUUUGAGUUUUAGAGUAUUUAUUUGGUAUCACUAGUAAGUUGGAGAAAAAGAUGUAAUUUGAUUUAUUUCCUUUUUGUAUUUACAUUAAGUUGGGAGAAGAUGGUGAGCUUGCUAUUAUUAUUUAAUUGUUACAGAACUUUCUUUUGUUUCGUGGCGGGAGAUUGUGAUUUUUUUUUUUUUUUGGAGUGCCGGUAAAUUUCAAGAGGUAUUGAUGAGUGUAAAAAGCCUAUUGGUGGACUAUUAAUAUAUUUAUGAGAUUAUCAAUUUUUUAUAAUUUUUAAUUUAGUAAUUUCUUUUCGUCACACUUCAAGUUUGCUAAAUUUUAUAUGAAAUUAUCAACCAACCUAAAUCAGUGCCACUCACCAUUUUUUUUUUCUGAUCACAUUAUCUCUAAAUGUUUUGCUAGUUACUCUCAAUCACGCUUCUUAUUGACGUUAAUUUGGUUCUCUUUUGACUUUUCUUAUUGUUUACAAAAUUUUAUUGGAUUAGUACCUUGAAAAACAUUUAUCUCAAACUAAUUUUUUUACUAUAAAAAAUCUCAAACUAAUACGCCUGUGACAAAUUUACCCUAAAACAAUUUUUUGACCAUAAAAAAUUUCAAACUGAUACACUUGUAAUAAAUUUACUCUAUAUUAACUUUCGUCAAACUUUACCCUUAAAUUUGCUAAAUGGAUGACACAUGUUGACGUGGCAAGUCCAUGUGAAAAUUCAUAGGGUUAAUGUCACGAAAAAUCCCAAAUUUGUCACGAGCAUAUCGUUAAAUUUAUUAUGAGAGUACUAUUAAAUUAUCACAGAAGUAUUGUUAAAUUUGUCACAGAUGUACCGAUUUAAGAUUUUUUUAUGAUAUUUACCAUAUGGAUUUCCAGGUAGACUUGCCACAUCACUACACUACGUCACCAUGUGUCAUCUAAGUAAGCAAAUUUAAUGUUUAAAUUUGACGGAAGUUAACAAAAGGUAAAUUUGUCAUAAGUAUACAAAUUUGAGGUUUUUGAUGGUCAAAAAGUUAGUUUUGGGAAAAUUUAUCAUAGAUCUAUUAAUUUCGGGUUUUUAGUGGUCAAAAAAUUAGUUUUUGAUAAAUUUAUUACCAAUGUACCAGUUUGAGGUUUUUUGUCAUCAAAAAAUUAGUUGAGAAUAAAUUUAUCAUAAGUCUACAAAUUUAGGAAUUUUUAGAAUAUUAACCCAUUUUUAUUUGUGUUUCUACAAAUUUAGGAUUUUUCAGAAUAUUAACCCAUUUUUAUUUCUGUUUGUAGCGAUUCUUGAAGUCUAUUGACCCUUUUAAGAGAUUAUUAACCUUGAUUAGAAUAAUUUAUCAUCUUUUCUCCAAUCAAGUUACUUUUUAAUUUGGGUUAUCAACUUAUAUCUAAGUUGCUUACUAAAUUUAUUAAUUCUCCAUCAAUUAUUAUCAAUUUUAUUUGCUUUUCGUUAAUUACAUACCAAAUUUACCGACUCCAAUGACGUCGACAACCACAAUGGUGUGAAAAAAUACUAGCUAGGUCUAUCUUACUGUUUGGGCACUAGGACACGCCAUUUAGCUUUGGCCAUGUAUCUAGGUUAGGUUCACUGGCUAGUCUCUUUUGAUGUUAAAAAUGCCUUCCUACAUGGAACAUUACAUGAGACAAUGUAUAUGGAACAACCACCAGGUUUUAUACAUCCUAAAAAAUCUCAAUAUGUGUGUCUCCUUAAGAAAUCCUUAUAGAGUCUUCGACAAGCACCACGUGCUUGGUUUGAUAAGUUUAGCAAUUUUCUUCUUGAAAAUGGCUUCUUUUGCAGCAUAACUGAUCAUUCACUUUUUGUGUUUCAUAAUGGGUCAGAUACAGUAAUUUUGCUGCUCUAUGUAUAUGAUAUUGUGCUAACUGGCAGCUUAGAUCAAUUGCUAUCUAAACAGAUCAAGUCUCUAAGUCUUCAAUUCCACAUGAAAGAUCUUGGAUACCUUCAUUAUUUCUUAGGAAUUGAAGCCAAACGUACAUCCUAAGAUCUAUUUCUUUGUCACACAAAGUAUGCUCUUGAUCUUCUUACUUGAGCUAACAUGAAAGAGUGUAAACCUAUUUCAACUCCUUUGUCUCUGAGAUCAGCCAUCAUGGCAACUGAUGGCAUUCCCUUGACCAAUCCACUUGAGUAUAGAAGUCUAGUUGGUGGUCUUCAAUACCUCACCAUAACUCGACAGUUCUUGCCUAUGCAACAAAUCUCUUAUGUUAGAAAAUGCAGCAGCCAACACUUGGAGAUUUUCAUAAGCUAAAAAGGGUUCUUCGCUAUGUUAAAGGAACUGUUAAUCUUGGUAUUUUCAUCCAUUCUAACAGAUCUAUGAACCUAUAUGGAUUUUCUUAUUUUGAUUGGGCUGGAUGUAAUGCUACCAGGCGAUCAACUACUAGUUUCUGCACAUAUCUUGGCUCUAACCUCAUUUCUUGGUCAGCAAAGAGACAACCUACCAUGUCUCGUUCAUCAACAAAAGUUGAGUAUUGAGGUCUUGCAUCAAUUACGGCUAAUCUUAUAUGGAUCAGCUUUGUUCUCUGUGACAUUGGAAUAUGUCUGUCUGGACAAACAAUUCUGUUUUGUGACAAUAAGUCUGCUAUUUCUCUUACUAUAAUCCUAUUAUACAUGCUCUCACUAAACAUAUUGAAGUGGAUUUUCAUUUUGUUCGAGAGAAAGUGUCCUUAGGGUCCCUAGUUGUUCGAUAUGUUCAUACUACUCAUCAGCUUGCUGAUAUCUUUACUAAAUCUUUAUCCCAUUUAGCACACUCUACUCUUUGCACCAAAUUGGGUCUGGGUUAUAUACCCCUUCCCAAUUUGCGGGGGAUGUUAAAGAUCAUGAAACGAAGCUUGUGGAAGUAAAGUCUACACAAGUAAACUCAGCAAAUGUUGCUGUUUUAUCAAAGAGAAAAUGAGGAAUAUGCUGCUAGUAUGCUACUACAAGAAAGAGUAGUAAGUUGACAGUUGUAUUAGCGACAAGUGCACAUGGAGUCGAUGGAGGUUCAACUAAGAAGAACAGAGUCGACAAAGUCAGAAGCCCAACUUAGAGCUCAAUUCAGAGCUCCACGUGUUCGAAUACAAAUGGAGCUUUAUUUUUAUUUUAUUUUAUUAUUAUUAUUUUUUUUGGUGACCUAGAAACCCCGUACAACCGGCAGCGGGCGAGUAAACUUGGGGGGACACGUAAGCGGGAGAACCCACCGCCCCCGGUGUCCACUUAAGACCCCAAGCGACCGUGAGGGAAUUCAAACUCCUCCCCUUCGUGAGGGGGAGAGAGCCCAAACCAUCGCGGCCACCCAGGCGAUGAUAAUACAAAUGGAGCUUUAUUAAUAAAGAACCGUUAUUCUGUUUUACAAUACUGACAGAAUAAGCAACAGUUUAUUUUUUCUGUUAAUUCUGUUUCUUCCUUCUUGGUUUCUUUAGAUCAUGUAGUAUAAAAGAGAGAAGAAGGGGAAUAUGUGGAUUGAGCUCUCGGAUGAACAUUUUCUCCAACUGUUCAUUGGAUACAGAAUACAGAGGAUCAGAAACACUUUCAUUUCAUCGUUGUUGUUCAUUCCAUUUUUCUUCACAUGGGGGACGUGACUGGAGGACCAUUUCUCGAGCCACAUUUCUUUGGAGGCGGGGGCUUCAAUGCCUUGUAUGCCCAUCCAAGAACACCUACCACCACUACCACCGCAAUAGGCCCCAACAUCGCUGGAAACAAAAGGAGUGGCCAUUGGGUAAUCUUCCAGCUUAGAAAGAGAUAAUGUUAAUAUGCCCUAGAAGCCACAGACAUAUAUGCAUAUAUCAACAGCCUAGAGUAUGACAGCAACCAGCAUUCUCCACCAGGAUCAAGAUGAUGUUUCAAUCCUAAUUAAAAUGAUAAAUCCUCUGAUAAUUGUAUAAUCACUUCUUUAUCUUUCCUCUUCCAUUUAUUAAUAUAUUUGGCCACGGCAAAUUAGACAUUCAAUCAAGCUCAGUCAGUAAUCAUCAACGAUCGUUAAGAAAACUCGUCACAAAACGACUCAGAUGAGCAAAACAAGACUCGCAGAAUGCCUGUGAAAAUCUCAUCCUGGGAUUGUAACCAAUUAAAAAAGUAAAGGCAACAUAACGUAGCUUGUGAUACAUAGUAAAGAUGGUCGGAGAGCUUUAUGUUAAUCAUAUUGAAGCAUCCUUCAUGCAUUUAUGUCGAUCCGAUUCACUUAAAUCAACAAUCGACUGCCAUAAAUCGGACUCAAACUCUACGUUUCACUCUUUAAAAUUCCAGAAGCAGCCAUCCACUUAGGACCUGCUAACCAAUUACUCAAAAAAACCUUCUUCUUCUUCUUUUUUUCUUUUUUUCCAUCUUCUGAUAAAUCAACGCGUUUCCCGCAGGUGUACACAGUUGAGUUAGAAGUAGAGCUCAAUCAGCUUAAAGAAGAGAACGAGAAGCUCAAAAGGAUUGUGGUAAAAAAAAAAAAUCGUUUUAUCUCAAAACUGCCACUGCGCUCACUUCACUGCAUAAUCUGACUAUUCUCUACUUCUUGCCGUUUUGGGCAGGCGGAGAGCGAGCAGAAACGCAGAAAGGAGGUAAAAUUUAGUCUGAACAUUCAUCUACAAGCAUGAUCUCGCCUCAAUUCAGACCCGACUGCUGCACGUGUCGUGUGAACUUUUUGAGCGCUAACGUUGUAUCCAUGACAGAUGAUGAUGAAAUGGAAACUGCCAACCAAGGCGGAGAAGGCAGCUGAGAAGUUCAAGUUGAUGGGGAGGACGGCGAGCAAUGCGUGGUGAAGGAGACGCCAUGUUCGAAGCACACCGAGUUCACAGUUCUUGUUAUAUAUAUUUAUAUAUACAGUACAUAUAAUCUGAUGGCUAGUUCUAUAUAUGAUGUCGUUGCAAUUUGCAUGCAUGCAUAAGCAGAUCAAAAAAUAAAAAAUAAAAAAUCAGGUAAUAAUAACAAUAAUAUGUAUGUUAAUAAGGUCGGCUUUUGCGUGGGGAUUGAAAGGGUAUGCAUGUACUGUCGGGCAUUUGACUUAUAUAUAUGUACAUGUCUAUGUAAUUUAUAGCAGACAGAUGUAACUUGCAUUUCCUUUUUUUCUUUCUGGGGCCCUUCUGAUUAGUCUCUCUCGUUAUUUACUUGUUGAAUCUUUUGGAAGCUGGAACUAUGUGAUGCAAUCUUGCCAAAUUUUUCAGACAAUUUCAAUGAGAAAAGGAGAGACAAUGGCACUGAAGAACCGCCAAAUGCAAUUUCAACGGGAAAGCUACUUUUGUUUUUGGUUUCCUUUUUGAGUUUUUGAGCAUUUUAUUUGUUAUCAAUAGUAAGUUAAAAUAAAAAGAUGUAACUUGAUUUAUUUCCUUUUUGUAUGUACAUUACGUUGGGAGAAGGUGGGAAGCUUGCUAUUAUUAUUUGGUUGUUACAGAAUUAUUCUGUUUCGUGGCGGGAGAUACGAAUUAUUAUUUUUUUCUUUUUUUGGACGGUGAAUUUCAAGAAGUAUUGCAAAGUGUAAAAGGCCUUUUGGUCCACCAUUAAUAUGUUUAUGAAAUUAUCCACUUUUUUUAUAAUUUGUAAUUUAGUAAUUUCUUUUAGUCACACUUCAAAUUUGCUAAAUCACAUAUGAAAAUAUCAACCAACCUAAAUUAGUACCACUCACCAUUUUUUUCCCGAUUACAUUAUCUCUAAUUGUUUUGCUAGUAACUCUCAAUCAAGCUUCUUAUUGACUUUUAUUUGAGAAAAUCGUUUACAAAUUUUAAUUUGCAUUCUUAGCAAUGCUUUAAGUUUACUGACCCUUUUUAGAGAUUAUUAACCCUAAUUAGAAUAAUUUAUCAACUUUCCUCCAAUUAAGUAACUUUUUAAUUUGGGUCAUCAACCUAGGAGUUGCUUACUAAAUAUAUUAAUUCUUCUUUCAUUAUUAUCAAUUUUUUUUUGGUAACUACGUGCCAAAUUUAUUGACUUCGAUAACGUCAGCAAACACAAUAGGGCAAAAAAAAAAAAAAAUUAGGUGGAUUUUUAUCUUAUUACGAGGGCGGUAGAACAUUCCAUUUUGUCUUCGCCAUAUGUUUAGGCAGGGCUCAUUUGUUAGUCUCUUAGUCUCUUUCUCCUACAACUUGCACCACCCACAACAGACCCCACGACUUCUUUGUUUGCAUUCUAGUCAUAGUUGCUUAUCUUAGUCAUUUUAAACAGCUCGGCAAGCACUAGCCAUUAUAUAGGUGUGUGUAGAGGGUCUCUCAGUUAAGCCAUCUAGUGUGCGUGUCAUAAAGAGCCGGUAUAAAGAGAGACAAGCUUACCCCACUGCAUAUCGUUGACGCCUUUGACUUCCUAGACCAUCUCUCUCUCAUUCUCGAGCUCUGCGAUUGCUACACCCUCUUCGGCUCAUCACCAAUCACACUCUCUCAGAGCCUGAGGCUUGCCAUGUCGUCAAACGGGUGCAUUACCAUCGUCCAUUGUGAUGUGAAGCCCGAAAACAUCUUGAUCAACUGAUGGAACAACCCAGGUAACAAUUCAUCACAAACUAAACCCAAUCCAAGAUCAAUUUCUCCACCCGAAACUAAACCGAGCAAAAUCAACUUAGCUCCGUCAAUAUCCAGCCAUAUAUAACCUUGAAAUAAGCAAAUAUAAUACAGAAAUGAUAAGUAGACAAAGUCAACAACAAUACCAAGGUUUUAACGUGAAAACCCAAUGUGGGAAAAAUCACGGACCGUCCAAAAACUUUCACUAAUCACUAAGAAUAAUAGGAUACAUAAAGCAUUUUUCUCUAGUCACACACUAGAAGCUCCAUAUAAGUAUUAUAAGUUCAUUUCCUCACCACAAAAGUGGAUAAACAUAAAUGGGGCAAUCAUAACUGUAAUUGGAGAAUUCAGAGGUGAAUCUUGAUGAACGAAAAUCAUUAAUCCGUAACUCUCAAUCUCAUGAAUGACAUAUUCUAAUUUGAGCCAAUUCCAUCAAUAUGAAGCUCCGAAGAUCUGCCUCUUUUUCUUUUCUUCUUCUCCACGCUCUCGGGUAACUCUCUCGGGUGGGGACACUCUCUCCUCCUCUCUCUCCUCUAGUCUUGCCCGAGGCAAUCACUUAAUUUUCUUUUUGUUGUUUUCUUUCCUUUUGACUUUUCUUCCUAUUUCACUUUUGUUUUUCUUUUGUUUUGUUUUAUUUAGCUGGGCCCACAAGAGGUGGACCCAGCCAAUACUUAUUGACGAGGGCAAAGACAGUGGUGGAGGGCAAGAUGGGGAUCCAGUUCUACGCUCCGCUGGAAAUGCUACUUGGGAGGGAAUCACCAUCCAACAAAUAAAGAAAUCAAACAUGCCUAUCAAAAUCUCCCUUCAAAUUCCUAAAACAUUUGAGACCACAAAAAUAUUAGAUUUUUCUGACCAAUUCAAAACCAGAACAAGCAAAAUCCUAAUAGGAAGAAACCUCUUUUAACUCCAUAAGAAAAAAAUAAAAAUCCAAUUCACACUUGAGCAACGCCAAUGCUACGUCAUUGGGUUGGUGGUGGGGGUUUCGUGGGCAACGUGAUGGGAUGAAUAAAAGAAAUGCAAGGUGCAAAAGGACGAGAGACUAAUCAGUGGAGCUCACAUGGCAAGUGCUGAAUUUAGUAUUUUACUACCUAUAUGUGAAUAAAAGAAAUGCAAGGUGCAAAAAGGACGAGAGACUAAUCAAUGGAGCUCACAUGCCAAGUGCUAAAUUGAGUAUUUUACUACCUAUAUGGCAAGACAAACCUAUUUGAUAUUUUCUCAAAUAGCAACGGCUUUAGCUCAAAAUAUAAUAUCAUCCCUCAAUUUUUUUUGUGUUCAAUGUGAUUCAUGAACUUUUAGUAUAUAUUUAAUCUAGUUCCCGAAUUAUAUGAAAAUAUCUAAUAUCGUCCGUGAAGUUGAGUUAAAAAGAGAACAAUAAAUUAAAAGUUCAAUGACUAUGAUACAUAUUAAGCUAAAGAUAAUAUUAAAUAAAUUAGAACUUUAGGAAUUAUAUUACACAUUAAAUUAAAAUAAUAUUCUCCUGAGGCGGGACUUCGUGGCCAAUCACGUUCCGAUGACGUCAGCAAUGUUGUUCUUGACGCGGACAAGAUACUUGAUCAGCAAGGUGUCGUUCUUAUCCUUGAUCAUUAUUUUGCACCACUGCCAGUACGGACAGUUGAAUAUGCCACGGCCGCUAAACGCGCUGAGCUACAAGCGGCUUUUUAAAAUCGGUGAAUCUCACUAUAUUAGUUCUCUGAGUUUCGGGCGGCAGUUUUCUAUACGGAAUUAUAAGGGUGUGCUAAGCAAUGCUUCCUACUCCCGGGAACGGGAAGGCAAUGAAUAUUCGAGUACUGCAAAAGCAGUUGAAGUAAAUAAUUUAUAGUAACAACCCAUGCUUAUUGUUCAACUUUGGCCGGCGAAAGUCAACUUUUUAAUUGUCACGGAGAGCAAAAAUUGAUCAUAAUAUGAAAAACAAAAGUAAAUGGAGCAAUAUUCGAGCUCUACACCACAUUAAUGAGCAUAUUAUUAUAUUUUAUUUCUUUUAACUCUUUUGAUUAGUUUGUCAAUCUUAUUUGUAACUCCUUAACUUAUCACUUUUUCGUUUAGAUUUUUUGUUUUGUUUGCAUAUACGUGACUAAAAUAGCAUCAGAGCAGCAAGGUGUCGUUCUUAUCCUUGACCAUUAUUUUGCACCACUGCCAGUACGGACAAUUGAAUAUGCCACGGCCGCUAAACGCGCUGAGCUACAAGCGGCUUUUUAAAAUCGGUGAAUCUCACUAUAUUAGUUCUCUGAGUUUCGGGCGGCAGUUUUCUAUACGGAAUUAUAAGGGUGUGCUAAGCAAUGCUUCCUACUCCCGGGAAUGGGAAGGCAAUGAAUAUUCGAGUACUGCAAAAGCAGUUGAAGUAAAUAAUUUAUAGUAACAACCCAUGCUUAUUAUUCAACUUUGGCCGGCGAAAGUCAACUUUUUAAUUGUCACGGAGAACAAAAACUGAUCAUAAUAUGAAAAACAAAAGUAAAUGGAGCAAUAUUCGAGCUCUACACCACAUUAAUGAGCAUAUUACUAUAUUUUGUUUCUUUUUAACUCUUUUGAUUAAUUCGUCAUCUUAUUUGUAACUUUUUAACUUAUCACUUUUCCGUUUAGAUUUUUUGUUUUGUUUGCAUAUACGUGACUAAAAUAGCAUCAUAAGUAAAUGUACUUUAAAUGAAUUCAUAGAAAAUAUAAACAUCAUAAAAUAUCAUUUAAUAUUCAUACAUACAUUAUUUCUCUUAUAUUUGGUAGAAAAAAGGGUGGGCGGUGCUAGGGUAUAAACCUAGCAAUUUAAGAUUGCAAGAUACUUCCUCGUUACCUAAGGAUUGUUGCCAUAAGAAUUUAAUUUUUUCGGAACUUUUGAUGAUUUAUGAAAAAAUGAAAUUAAAAAAGAAGCCGUGAAGGAUGAAGUAAUUGAACCCCGCCCGCCAUACUGUUUGCCUAUGUAAACAAAUGUUUCGACGUUCAUAUGUAGGCAUUAGCAAAAUAGAAGUUGUAAGGUACGACAAAGGAAAACAUGGGGGAGACCAUAGUCCUCUAUCCGUCGCAUUUGAGGGGUCACAUCGUCUCCAUGCUCGAGCUUGGACGGCUCAUUCUCAAACGCCACCCUCGCUUCUCCGUCAUCGUCAUCCUCUCCUCCGCUUCCGCCGCCGCCGCCGCCCCCACCCUGGUUGCCAACUCCUCUUCCAUCACUGUCCUCCACCUUCCACCAUCCACUGCCGCCGCAGCUGAGGACAAGCAAACGCACUUCGAUUUGGCCCGCCACGACGCCUCCAACCUCCGCCUCGCCCUCGCUGCCAUCGCCGCUGCUGCGGACCUCCGAGCCCUUAUCAUCGAUGUCUUCUCAGAUGCCGCCUUCCCUGUGGCGGCCGCACUUGGCGUCCCAACCUACUACUACUUCACCUCAGGUGCCGCUGCCCUCGCCGCCUUCCUCCACCUUCCAACCCUCCACGGGAGCACCACCAAGAGCUUCAAGGACCUUGGAGACGAGACCGUGAACAUUCCUGGGUUGCCUCCAAUCAAGGCCUCGGACAUGCCGUGGGACGUGCUUGACCGAAGCUGGAGAAUGUACGACUACUUCUUGGAUGCUUGCAGGAACAUGAGCUCGUCGUCCGGCAUCAUUGUUAACACGUGCGAGUCGCUUGAGAGUCGGAUCAUCAGAGUCAUCAAAGAAGGAUUGUGCGUGCCAGACCGGCCGACUGCGCCUAUUUUUGCCGUUGGGCCUUUGGUUGAGUCAAAGGUUGACGGCGACGAGGGCGGUGGCGACAAGAGAGAAAGAAGGCACGAGUGCUUGAGUUGGCUCGACUCGCAACCGAGCCGAAGCGUCGUGUUCUUGUGUUUUGGCAGCGAGGGAAGGUUCUCCGCUGCGCAGCUGAAGGAGAUGGCCUCCGGUAAGCUUUCGUUUCGUGCAAAAAUUACUUCACCUGCCGCAACUUAAUUCAAAUUCAAUUGUCCUGUUAAUUAGGUUUGGAGAGAAGCGGGGUGAGAUUCUUGUGGGUGGUGCGGCCUCCGCCGCAGGAUGCGUCCGCAAAAUCAACAUCGGGGUCAAACGAUGGCGACGACACGAGCAUAGAGAAGUUCAUGCCGGAGGGAUUUCUGGAGAGGACAAGAGAGAGGGGGAUGGUGGUGAAGUCGUGGGCACCGCAGAUACAGGUGCUGAGCCACGGCUCGGUGGGCGGGUUCGUCACUCACUGCGGCUGGAACUCGACUAUCGAAGCAGUGCACGCCGGCGUGCCAUUGGUGGCCUGGCCUCUCUACGCGGAGCAGAAGGUGAACAGGGCGUUUCUCGUGGAGGACACCGCCCUGGCGCUCCCACUGAGCAUGUCGAACGAGGACGGGUUCGUGAGUGCGGACGAGUUAGCCAAGCGGGUCGCCGAGCUGAUGGUGGGCUCGGGAGAAGGAAAAGUUGUCAGAGAGCGGGUCUUGGCCGCAAGAGACGGCGUGGUGGAGGCCUUGAGCGACGGCGGAUCCUCUCAGAUUUCAUUGGCCGCGGUGGCGGCACUAUGGAAACGAGGCUGAGACCCUAGUGCACUCACUGUCCAUUGAUUGGCUGACCUCAACAGGGUGGUGUCACAAUGACCAAAUUAGAGUACUAUGUCGAACUGUUUCCCAUGAAGUACACCAAAAAUAAACAAAAAACAUGGAGCGGGUGUCUUAGUUUGUUAGCUAGAUUUUCGAUAAACCAGUUUUUCCAUUUGGAAGUUCUAAUGCUCACAUUCUGAAGGAGACGCUUGUUUUCAAGAUAAACCGAGACCAAUCUCGAGUUCAAAGAAAAAGGGACGUCUUUGAACAUGUUCAACAAAUGCAUAUCAGACUGAUUCUGUACAGUGGAUUGCUGCGUCUGAAACAGCAAGCAUAGUGUUGGGGAUGACUGAUCCCCGAAAUACCGGAUUCGACACUAAAUCGAACCCCUAAAUCAAUGCGGAAGACGAAGCCCGGGAAAACACGUAUCACCGAUCGUAAAGCACACCACGGAUUCAAGCGUACCUUGUUAGCCACAGAUUAAGCACCGACGCCGAUUGAGGAAGAAAAUCCGGUCGAAUUCGAUCCGAUGAAGCCUUGAAGGGAAGGAAAGCGCGCCGUAUGCUUACUGUUCUUCCUUUUUGGGAGAGAGAGCGUGAGGAGAGAAAAGACGUACGUUGAAUUGCAAAACGUUGUCUUCUCUCUCUCUCUCCUCCCUUUUAUACCUUCCCCCUCCACGGGCCCUAUUUCCGUGGGCCGGGCCUUUUGGGCCCAGCAUGGGCGGACGGGCCUUAAGCCCAAAUUAAAUAAAGCCUUCAUCUCCCACUCGCACAUGGUGGGCCGAACAAUAUUCUUUUUACCUCUCUUCAACAUUCAUACCAGUGAAUAAUCCGUGCGACCAGCAUACUUUGAGAGCUCGUUGCUAUACAUCUGUUAGGAAUAUAUAGCAGCUCAUUAAUGGGCGUCACACUCCGAAUAGAUUUAGUAUGUAGUACCCUAGAUCGAUCGAUCACAUUUAUAUCUCUCUUGAUCUCUUUUAAACAAUGAUAUAUAUAUUGUAUUCACAAUUAUAAUUAUCACAAAGACAAUCAUAAUUGGUCGACCAGUGAAUACAAAAACUACAAUGUGAUUCUCCAAAAUCGAUCUUCCUCUUUCCUUCAAACUCUCAAUUUCAGUCCAGCUUGCUUUUCUAGAAAUGCCCCAUUAGAUCGAAUUAUCUCAUGACCAUUGGCAACACCCUAAGAUAGCAAACACUAAAUAGAAAUCUUGAGAAUAAGUAAGAGUCCUGAGGGGGCUAAAAAUUGAGGAACUCUUUUCCUCAAGAGUCUCACACGACAUAAAAAAGUUGAGAUCAAACUUUUGCCACUCUUAUUGGUCGUCUCAUGUAUACGUAGUAUGAAAUACGUAUUAUGGUAUCAACUCCUUUCCCAUGGAGCGUAUGUCUACACCUUUCAAUACCGUACAUAUGAUAGUUCAGACAUACCCAAUGUCUAACUUGAGUUCACGUAUCUACUCAUUCACUAAAUUCAUCAUAACUCACAUCUGGCAUCAUAGACAGAUAAAGUAAAAUAUGUGAGGUAUUUUACUUUCGGACAUCGUAAGUAUUAUGUCAUCAUCUUAACACUUAGUUAAGGCGACAUACGUAUUUUAAGCUUGAGCUCUCGAUUAUCACCUAGAUAAUAAGCUUAAAAUCAGUCUCAUCUCUAUUUAUCACACAGUAAACAGAGGCGAUUACCCGUGUGAGUGGGCUAAUCUUUUAUCUGUCCGACAUACUUCUCAACUUAAAAUAAUGCACUAAGCAUUAAGAUGCAUAAAGAUCAUACAAAGAUUCAUAGGCAUUAAUCAAUGAAAAACAAAAUUUCAUAAAUGUGAACAACUCGGGGAAAAUACAAUCCAGUACAUCAGACUCUACGCAAUCCUAGAGAUUUUACAUGACCACAAAACCACAUCUCUAGUAUGCUUUGUUCAUAGGAUCUGCUACAUUCUAUGCGUAGAUAUGUACUGUAAGUUCACAUCCUUUCGUGCAACCAUAUCUUUUACAAAGUUAUACUUGGUAUCUAUAUGUUUGGUCUUGCCAUGAUACUUUGGAUCUUUGGUGUACGCUAUAGCUGCUUGGCUAUCACAGUUAACCAAUAAUUGAUUUGCAGCUUUCUCAAUAACACCUAAAUGAUCCAAGAAUCUCUUAAGCCAAACUGCUUCUUGUACUGCUGCUGAUAAUGCCACGAACUCAGCUUUCAUUGUGGAUAAGGCUAUGCAUGUUUGCUUCUUACUACUCCAUGAUAUGGCGCCAUUGCUCAGUAAGAAAGCAAAUCCUGAGGUAGAUUUUCUUUCAUCUAAAUCUCCUCCCCAAUCAGCAUCUGAAUAGCCUUUAAGUCGCAGAUCCUUUCCUUGGUAAUUCAACUUGUAAUCAGCAGUUCCCUUCAGAUACCUCAGUAUUCUCUUAACGGCUUUCCAAUGUGCUGGACCUGGAUUGGAUUGGUAUCUACUCACCAUUCCAACUGCAAAACAUAUGUCGGGUCUUGUACACAUCAUAGCGUACAUCAAGCUCCCAACAGCACUUGCAUAAGGAACAUGUUUCAUUUGUUCCUUCUCUUGUGGAGUCCUUGGACACAGUCUAUGGCUCAAUCCUUCACCUUUUGCAAUAGGAGUGUCUAUGGGUUUACAAUCUUGCAUACGAAACCGUUCUAGAACUUUGUUUAUAUAAGUUUCUUGCGAAAGAGACAACGAUCUCUUCGAACGAUCUCUUGAAAUCUUAACUCCAAGAAUGUAUGCAGCCUCACCCAUAUCCUUCAUCUCAAAGUUGGAAGACAACCAACUCUUGACGGUCUUAACAAACUCCAUAUUGCUUCCGGCAAUUAGUAUACAUCAACAUAUAAUGAUAUGAUCACAAAUUGAUCCUUGGAUCUUUUGAUAUAUACACAAUGAUCCUCAUCAAUCAUCGUAAAAUCAUAUGCCAUUAUGGCAUUAUGAAAACGUAUAUACCAUUGUUUUGAUGACUGCUUAAGACCAUAUAUCGACCUCAAAAGUCGACAUACUUUUUCUUCUUGGCCUUUCACUAUGAAACCAACAGGUUGUUCCAUAUAUAUCUCUUCCUCUAAUUCUCCAUUGAGGAAAGCAGUCUUUACAUCCAUUUGAUGUAACUCAAGAUCCAGACUAGCCACUAUUGCUAGAAUAAUGCGAAUCGAGGUAAAUCUCACUACAGGAGAAAACGUAUAUUCAUAAUCAAUUCCUUCAUGUUGAUUAUACCCAUUCGCCACAAGGCGAGCCUUAUGCCUUUCAAUCGAGCCAUCAGCCUUUCGCUUUAUUUUGAGAACUCAUUUGUUCCCAAUAGCUUUACGUCCUUUUGGCAGAUCAACUAGUUCCCAGACUUGGUUUGAUUUCAUUGACUCCAUUUCCUCUUCCAUUGCAUGAAUCCACUUUUCCUUACUAGGGCAAUUCACAGCCUCAUUGAUAUUUCUUGGCUCAUCCUCAUCUUGUGGAGCAACCAUAAAAGUUUCCCCUUCAAUGUCAAAACGUCGACGGGGAAUACUUUGGCGACUUGUUCGCCGUAUGGGAGAUUGUACACUUUGCACAUCAUCCCCCAUCAUGCUCCCACUUGGAUUAGGUAAUGAUGAUGUCGUCUCAUCAUGUGGUUGCAAUUGAGAAUUAGUUGAAUUCAAUUCAUCACUUCUCAUAUUACUCCCACUUGGACGAAGUCCACUAAGGUCAUUAUCUUGAUCCAAGGUUUCAAAUAGGGAACAAUCUUCCCUUAUUUCGCCCUUCUUAGGAAACUCAUCCUCUAAGAAUGUGACAUCUCGUGAUUCAAAUUCAGUUAUACUCCCACUUUCCUGCUCACCAAUGAACACAUACCCUUUCGAGUGUUCCGAGUAUCUUAUGAAAAUACUCUUCUUUCCUCUGGGACCCAAUUUCCCAAACUUGUGAGAGGACUCAUGUGUAUAGGCAGCACAACCCCAUGGCUUAAGAAAACUCAAGUCCGGUUUUCUACCGGUCCAUAACUCAUAUGGAGUGGAAGUAACUGAUUUAGAAGGCACCCGGUUAAGUAUAUACGCAGCAGUUAACAAUGCAUCACUCCAAAAGGUGAUAGGCAAGUUAGCAUGCGCCAUCAUGAACCUAACCACUUCCAGUAGGGUUCUGUUUCUUCUCUCCGCAACACCAUUUUGUUGAGGAGUAUAUGGAAUAGACAACUGUCUUUCUAUUCCUUUUUCAUCACAUAAUUUUCUGAACUCAUCAGAUAAAUAUUCUCGACCUCGAUCGGAUCUCAAUGCUUUUAUUUUCUUGUCUAAUUGAUUCUCUACCAUGUUCAUAAACCUUUUAAAACAACUUAUUGCUUCAGAUUUGUGAUAAAUCAAAUAGACAUAUCCGAAUCGAGUAUAAUCAUCAAUAAAAGUGAUGAAAUAAACAGCCCCAUGCCUUCCUUUCACAUUCAUUGGACCACAGACAUUAGAAUGGAUUAAAUGCAGAGGAAAUUCAGCUCUUUUUCCUUUUCCAAAUGGUUUUCUUGUCGUUUUCCCUUCUAGGCAAUGCUUACAUAUGGACAAAUCGACUUUUUCAAUAUUGCCCAACAAGCCCUCUUUGGCUAGUCUAUUCAUACGCUGUUGGCCAAUGUGACCAAGUCUAGCAUGCCACACAUUCACAUCAUUAUCAUAUUUAUUAGGAGACGUGAAAAGGGAAUAACAAACAUUAGUAUUAACAUAAUCAAUAUCUAAUACAAUAAAACCAUCCAGAAAAUAACCACAACCAUAGUAAUUUGUAUCCAAAAACAAAUUCACAUCUCUAUUACAGAAGUUCAUAUUAAAACCUAAUUUAACCAACACUAAUACAGACACUAAAUUCCGACGAAUCUCCGGAGCAUACAGCACAUCAUGAAGGAACAAAGUGCGUCCACCACGCAUAUUCAGUUGGCAUGUGCCAAUUCCUUUCACUUCAGCUCUGGAGUUGUUUCCCACAUAGAUCCACUUAGUUCCAGUUGGUACUCGUCGGAAUUCCACGAAGGAUCCUCUAUCCUUCACUACAUGGUCCGUCGCUCCUGAAUCCACAGUCCACAAAGGAUUAGACUCAGUUAAGAAUACAGAACUCGACACAAAAGUGAAGUUCUGAAAAGUACAAGGGGUGCAUACCUUCUUUGGCUCACGACAGUCGCGAGCAUAGUGACCCUUCUUGUCACAGUUGUAGCAUUUCACCCUUGCAAGCUUUUUCAUGCGGGGACGCUUCCCUCUUUCAUGUUGGUUAAACUUGGGUUUCUUCCCUGAAGGACCUGCUUCUUCCUUGCCUUUUCCCUUAUCAAACCAGUUAGGGCGCUUGCGCUUGGAGCUCGAAGCUCCAUUUGAGCUAGAACUAGCAUGAUAAAGUUCAGCAUCCGGCUUAGCCGCCAACAAGCGGUCCUCUUCCAGCUCAAGAUGACGCAUUGCAUCCUCAAAGGUUUUGAUAUUUUCAUUAUGAGUCAGGUGCACCUUCAUAUGCUCCCAACUCUGAGGCAAGGAACGAAUCACUGCUUGCACUUGCUGCUCAUCUAUGAGGACAUGGCCAGCAUCUCUCAGCUCAGUUAUCAUGUUUGACAUCUUUCUAAGAUGUUGCUUCAUGGUCUGACCAUGAGGCUUCUUAUAAGAGUCAAACCUGAUAGUGAGCUGCCUCAGUCUAGUCACCGAAGUAUGACCAAAUCUAGCUGCCAAUGCCUCCCACAUUUCCUUAGCAUUGUCAAAACGCCAAAACUCUCGCAUGACGUCAUUUUCCAUGCUGCUCAGCAACGUGAUGCGAGCUAGAGAGUUCAUUCUUUUCUAUGCAGAAAAAGCUUCUUUGUCUCCUUUGUGCUGUGCAGUGGUUCCCUCUUCAGGUUCUACCACGGUCAUGACAAGAGCCUCAAGUGCUUCUUGCUCUUCCAGCACAUACUGGAUUUUCAUUUGCCAAAUUUCAUAGUUGUCUCCAUUGAGCUUUUCACCUUUGUUUAGCUCGGCAACUAUGCUCUUUGUGGCUGAUGCCAUUGAUCUGAACGAAUCAGACAAAUAUGCACGAAUUAUUAAUGCCUAUCAUUUAUGCAUCCCUAUUUACAUAGACCCAUCAUAUUAAUGAAUAAUUUCAAGUAAGGUUUCAGAAUCAAAAGGUCACUAUAUUUCCAAUCAUCCUCCAAAAUCCUAACUUAAAACUAUCAUCAAUAUAAUUGUCUUAUGCAAAAUCAAUUCUAUGAAGCUACAAAAACUUCUAAAACUACCCACAGCUAAUUACCCACAGCAACCAGCAAUAACAGAAAGCAAUAUAUAAUAGAACAUCCAAUAAAAACAAUAAUGCUUUCAAUUAACACAAUUAAGUAGUAAUCAUUACAUAAUAUGUCCACAAAUCACACUUAACAUAUAUCAGCCAAUACAACUAACACCAAGUCAGCACACGAACUGGGAAAUAUCCUCUUUUGUUCAAUUUCUUGAUCUUUUCCCUUGAAACAAUACAAUAAUAUUCAUUUACAAAAUCUAUCACAAUUUUCUUAUAGGAAGCAGCUCCGUUGACAUCCCAUAUGCGAUUCAACACAUCUUGCCAUUCAGGUGGAAGAGUGUUUAUGAAAAAUCGCACCAUCUCUGACUGUGACAUAGGAUGACCAUUCCAUAUGACCUGUUGAAUUUUCCCGUUGACUUCAAGGACAUGAUCAAUUAAGUCACCUCUCUCCCAUCGAUGAUCAGUCAGCUCAGCUAUCAACUUAGACAGCCUAUCCUUUUGUUCAUCGAUAACUGCGCGAAUAUGUGUGCGCAACCUCAGGGGAAGCAUUGUUCCUGCAACAAAUGCAGAACGAACAAAUAAGGGAUCACAUUAUAAUCCACAUAGACUUAAUUGAAAAAGAAACACAUUCUUUUCCUUUUUUUUUUCGGGACAACGGUCAACGGUCAAUGGUCGUCACGGUCAACGGAGGUUAACGGUCGUCGGUCGUCGGACCGGACAUACCGGUCGGACCAGUUGGGCCGGUGGGCCCGGUUCGCGCGAACCGACGGCACGUGCCGUGCGCGUGCGCGGGCUGACGUCACGCAGAUGUCAGCCGGCACGUGCCGCGCCCGUGCCGGGUCUCGCGCGGGUCGGGUCGGGUCGGGUCGCCGGUUGGGUCGCCGGCCGGUGACCGCCCGGCUAAUUGUCGCCGUGCUGACGUCAUCGAUGAUGUCACCCUAGCAGUUAUUGACCGUUGGGUGACGUCAUGCUGACGCCAGCACGCGUCGGUCCGCGGACCGGUGCGUGCUGGCUCGCCGGCCGACGGUGCGCACGCACUGGGCGACGCAACUCUUCCGAGCGCGUCGCGCCCACGCGCAGCGGCUUCUGGCCGCGCGUGUGGGCGCGUGCGGUGUCGCCCGACGGCGCACGACGUACCUCCAGACUCGUCUCGACGUCGCAUUUCUCCCAAUCUUUUCAGAAAACAGUUUCGACAUACGAAAACUCAGUAAAAAGGCGGAAGAACGCUCGGGUGUCGGGAUUUUUGUCCCGAUCCGUACGGCCGAAAGUUUCUUCGCGAAAACUCAAUCAAAGAACAUGAAAUUGAUCGGGAAAAACAUGAAAGCGGGCUCUGAUACCAAUGUUGGGGAUGACUGAUCCCCGAAAUACCGGAUUCGACAUUAAAUCGAACCCCUAAAUCAAUGCGGAAGACGAAGCCUGGGAAAACACGUAUCACCGAUCGUAAAGCACACCACGGAUUCGAGCGUACCUUGUUAGCCACAGAUUAAGCACCGACGCCGAUUGAGGAAGAAAAUCUGGUCGAAUUCGAUCCGAUGAAGCCUUGAAGGGAAGGAAAGCGCGCCGUAUGCUUACUGUUCUUCCUUUUUGGGAGAGAGAGCGUGAGGAGAGAAAAGACAUACGUUGAAUUGCAAAACGUUGUCUUCUCUCUCUCUCUCCUCCCUUUUAUACCUUCCCCCUCCACGGGCCCUAUUUCCGUGGGCCGGGCCUUUUGGGCCCAGCAUGGGCGGACGGGCCUUAAGCCCAAAUUAAAUAAAGCCUUCACAUAGAGAACUAGUGCUAGAGAUAAGGAAGAAAAGCGAGUAAGAAAGCAGAACAUCGAAUUAGGAAGAGACCAAUCAUCAAGCAUAUGCAUAGCAAGCAACUAGAGAUCUCAAUCAUCUUAAAGUCCAAGGCGACACUGACACACUUGUCGCCGGAAAAUGAUUAGAGAAGCUAAUUGCCUCACCUACGCAGGGUGCACCAGUCCAUACACAAGCCAAUGAUCUCCAGGAGCCUCACCGGUUACAUGGAAAUUGUUCAAGGCGAGGUGGGUAGGUUCCCCCGCACAAGCAAAGCUUAUCCCAGUAAAAGUGCCCUUAUCACAGCAACACAAAGAUCGCUCUCGAAGAUGCACAAGUGUCCGCCGUUGGGCACCUCGUGGUAACGAAUCCAUGGAAGUUUCUGUGCAAUGUACUGGUUAAUCUCACAUGGAAUUAUGCGGUCUUCCAUCCCUUGCCAAAGGUGGACUGAGCCCUGAUUGUCGGGAAAAGGGUUUUCCAGUUCCAGGGGAUCAAAUUGUUAAAGCUCAUAAAACAACAAUCAAAACAGAAAACAUCUCUAUUGUUUGAGGGAGAGAAAGGAUAAAAAAAAAAAAAAACAGAGCAUAGCACUUCAUACGUCUUGUGCAAAAGAAAAAAUUGUCAAGUAGCACAACUAAAUACAAAGCAGAAAUAAAUACAAAGCAGAAAUUGCUCACAUACGUGCAACACAUAACUGCACACAAACGUACUAUUAACUUCCUAGAAAAUAGCAAGCAGAAAUAAAUACAAAGCAGAAAUUGCUCACAUACGUGCAACACAUAACUGCACACAAACGUACUAUUAACUUCCUAGAAAAUAGCAAAAACACUAACUGCAUAACUAAAUGAACUUGGCUAUUUUUAAAAAACAAAGGAAAACAAAGGAAACACGACCGAAAACAGCAGCACUACGACAAUUCCAACAAACUCCUCAUUGGAUCAGUUGCUGCUGCAGAUUCCUAUUUUCUCUCUUAAUAGCUCAAAUCUUCUAGCCUGAAGUGGUUUUGUAAACAUAUCUGCAAGCUGAUCUUCAGAUCUACAAUAGACCAACUUAACUUCGCCACUUUGUUGUACCUCACGCAGAAAGAAAAAUUUGACUUCAAAAAGUUUGGUUUUGCCAUGGAAAACUGGAUUUUGUGAUAUUGCUAGAGUAGCCUUAUUGUCAAUAUUAACUUCAAUGCAAUCACUAGAAUUCAGCCACAAACCUUCAUUAUCUUCUUCAGCCACAAAGCUUGAUUUGCAGCUGCAGUAGCUGCUAUAAACUCAGCCACUGCAGUAGAUUGAGCUACAAUCUCUUGCUUUUUAGAACACCAGGAGAAACAAGCAAAACUAAUACUAAAACAAUAUCCAGACGUACUCUUCAUGUCAUCUACUGAACCAGCCUAGUCACUAUAAGAAAAUCAUUGGAAAUUAAACUUCUGACCUUUCUUAAACUUCACACCAAAGAACAAUGUUCCUUUGAGAUAUCUCAAGACCCUUUUUGCUGCAACCAAAUGUAACUGAUUAGGACUACUCAUAAACCUGGAUAAAACACUCACAACAAAUAGAAUAUCUGGUCUGGUUGCUGUAAGAUAUAUGAGACACCCAAUCAAACUUCUAUACAUAGAAACAUCUACUGCAUCUGUUCUAUCAUUCUUCUGCAGCUUCUCUUUAGCAACCAUAGGAGUGCUUACACUUCGACAAUCUUCUAUCUAAAACUUCUUUAGAAUUUCAUUCACAUAUUUUUUCUGACAGAUGAAGAUUUCAUUUCAUAUGAAGCUUGUUUGACUUCUAGACCAAAAAAAUAAGCCAUCUUUCCCAAGUUUGACAUCUCAAAACCUGCAAAUAGAUCUUGCUUCAUCUUCUUUAUCAAUUCCAUAUCAUUCCCUGCCACUAAUAGAUCAUCUACAUAAAGUGACAAAAUUACAACACUAUGAUUCACCUUCUUGACAUAAAGAGUGAACUCACUUAAGCUUAUUACAAAGCCAAAAUCCUGCAAAUAUCGAUAUAUCUUCCCAUACCAAGCUCUUGGAGCCUGCUUCAAUCCAUAUAGAGCUUUCCUCAACCUGUAUACACUCUCAACUUGCCCUUUGGUACUGAAGCCUUCAGGUUGUUCAACAAAAAUCUUCUCCUCAAGCUCUCUAUUCAGGAAUGCAGACUUGACAUCUAACUGAAAUAUAGGCCACCCCUGCUCUACUGCAAUAGCUAACAGUAACCUUAUUGUAUCAAGUCGUGCAACAUGAGUAAAUGUUUCAGAAUAGUCUACUCCUCAUAUUUGUGCAUAGCCUUUCACAAUCAGUCUAGCUUUGUGUUUAUUGACAGAACCAUCAAGAUUAAGUUUUGUUCUAAACACCCAUUUAACCUCAAUCACAUUCUUAUCAGAUGGUCUAUCAACAAGCUCCCAUGUGUGGUUUUUCUGGAUCAUUGCAAUCUCCUCCUACAUUGCUGCAAUCCACCUCUGGUCCUCCUUAACUUCCACAAAGUUAGAUGGUUCGAGCACUGCCACAUUGCUUCUUUCAUAAAUUUCAGCAAGUGACCUUGUGCCUCUCACUGGUAAAUCAUCCAUACUGUCUUCCAAUUCAUCUAUAACUUCAUCAACCUUUACAUCUGUUGCAGGUUGUUUUUCAAACUGCUGUUGUUCUGCACUCUUUCCUUCCAUCCAAUUCCACUCAUCUUCCUCUAGAAAAAUAACAUCUCUGCUCACAAUCACCUUCCCUGUCAUAGGGUGAAAAAUCCUAUAAGCUUUUGAUUGGAGACUGUACCCAAUGAAGAUUCCAAGCUCAGCUCUUUUAUCCAAUUUGUCCCUCUUGACCUGAGGAACAUGAGUAUAACACAAACACCCAAAAACCUUCAAAUUCUUCACAGAAGGUUUAACACCAUGCCAGACUUCAAAAGGUGUUGACUUUUCUAAGGCCUUUGUGGGCAAUCUAUUCAAUAGAAACACUGCAGUAUUAGUUGCCUCAGCCUAAAACUUCUUAGGUAACUUCUUCUCCUACAUCAUACAUCUAGCCAUCUCCAUAAUGCUUCUGUUUUUCCUCUCACUGACCCCAUUCUGUUGAGGUGAAUAGGGAGCAGUGAACUACUGCACAAUUUCUGUUUGCUCACAAUUCAACUUAAACUUGUGAGCAGUAUACUCAGAACCAUUAUCAGAUCUAAGCAUUUUAAUUUUCUUCCCGCUCUGAUUCUCAACUAAGGCUUUGAACUUCACAAACACAUCAGCAAUUUCAGACUUGGCUCGCAGAAAAUAAAUCCAACUCAUCCUAGUCAUAUUAUCAAUGAAAGUAAUGAAAUACCUGCUACCAUUGAGAGAAGACUCUGACAUAGGUCCACAUAAAUUUGUGUGGCCUAAUUGCAGCUUCUCACAUGCUCUCCAGCCUCCUCCUUUGAAAGGAAAUUUGACUUGCUUGCCAAGAAGACAAGUUCUGCAAUGUGGAAUUCCUCCUUGUCGCGACCAAUUUUUCAGGUGUGAACCACCUAGGGUUUGGCUAAUGGAUUGUUAAACCUAGACUUAACUCGGGCUCUCUCAAGCCCAUACCAAUUCGCGACUUAGGUUCAAGUUUAUAACAUGUAAAUGAUUUUUCAAUUAGGAGUCGCCACUAAUCUAUUUUUGGUGGGUCAAUUAGAAACCCAAGUAAAGUAACGGGAGAUUUACUUUACUCCUACGAACUAGAGAUUAUGAGUUUGGAGACUUGGUUAUGCUAGACUUUUCUAACGCUCUUUCGGUACAUUUCUCUUUUAUUUCAAAGAAAAUGUUUUGCAGGCAGCUUGAAUUGAUUUUAAAUCUAAUUCUUUAACAUGUGAGGCAAUCAUGCGGGUGCGCAAUCCAUCAAUUUAACACCCAAGAAAACAAAUAAAAAUGCAGGACUUACCUUGUAGCAACGAAAGCAUCUGCAAUGUUAAUUCAAAAUCAACAUCAACAAUCCUGGAUAUGGUUUCUAAUUAACACGCAAUUUCUUUUUUUUUUUCACUUAUUUAAUGAAAAUUAUGCAAUAUGCGAUGCAAUAUUAACUAAAUAACCUAACUCUAAUAACAUGUAAUUUCUAAUUGAAUGGACCUAGCAACAAUCACUAAAUGGCAUGCAUUUCAUGAAUCUAAUUCUAAAUGACAUGCAAUGACAUUUUUAUUUCUUAUAAAAAUUCGUAAUUAAAAAUUACUAAUAAUAAAAACCUAACUAAAGUGAGAUAUUAUUUAUUUUUAAGUUAGGAAAUAGACUAAUCUAAAUCCUAUCUUAACUUAGAAAUUUUUCUCGACAUGCAAUUUAAUUCCAAGAUAUUAUUUAACCUAGAUAUCAUCUAAACAUGCAUUCUAAUAUAAUUAAAAAGGUAUCUAACUAGUCUAUCAUGCAAUUCUAUAUAGGAAAUCAAAUAUAAUCUACAUGAUAUGCAAAUGCAAUCUUUUUGUAUUUUCGGGAUAAAUAAAGCAAUUAAAAGAUAAGCACAAAAUCAUUCAGAAUCAUCACAAAUAACGCACAUCGUCCAAAUUAGGAAACAAUAUCUAAAUCAGACUUGAUUAUUUCGCUAAUAAAAUCGAUAAAUUGAUCUUAAGCCUUAAAGAUCAAGAUAUCAAUUUUAUUCCCGCGUAAUUAAUUAUUACAUCUAAAGCCUUAUAGACGCAAUAAAAAAUCGGUAUGCGGUUGCGAAUUAGGAAAUAUAUCCUAAUUGAAAGUUAUGUCUAUCACUCAUGGAUAUGAAACUAGAUAUAAAUGGACAUAUGUUAGACAAUAAAAUAUCCAAAUAUACUAGAGAUGUGCAUCUUACCUAAUUUGAUGAUAUUCUUCCCAAAUUUGGACCAAGUGCAAUCGGACCGGGAUCGCAACAGGCUCCUCGAAGGGAUGACGAGUGGCGAGAGGCGGCUAAUGAUGGCUCGUGACUGGCACCACAGUCAGCGGGUAGUCAUGCAAUGCAGGGGUGAACACUUAGGAAAGGCUUCCCAUGUCUCUCUCCAAAAGACGAGGGGAUGACCUGCAAAAAUUACGAGGAAAGAAAGUCUUCGUUGAAAGCCUAGCAGCAAGACUUCACCAGCCAACGUGAAUGGUUUGCAAAGAAAACGAAAGUGAUCUUUGUAUUCCUUUUUAUUUGCUCUUUAUGUGCCCCUCUUUCUCUUCGUUGGUGGACUUCAGAAGAACGGUGAUUCACCGAUACUGCAACUUCUCUGUUUGGAAUGGUCAGGCUCGAGCUUGGACAGCAGCACGCCGUUAUUGCUGGGGAUUCCACGAAUGGCUUAACAGGCCGUAUGAGUGCGGCUCACGUCGGGUAAUGACAGCUCGGACGUGGAGGAACGUUACAACUGCAACAGGAUCGCCAUGGCUCGUGGGGGUGGAACUCAGCGUCAGGGCAACGCGGGCUGCGACUCCACAACAGUGAGCGGCAACAACAGGUCGACAACGAAGGGUUCAGCCGUAGUGCAGAGGGCAACGAUAUGGCAAUGGCACGGCGUCGACAAGGGUGGUGCGUCUUGGUGCACCUAGAAUAAAGAACGAUGAAGUGCAACAAGACUGGACGUUUGCGACUCCAGUAUCUUCGUAGAGUGGUGGCCAGCAAGCAAUUUGGACGAUCACAACAAAGUCAUGGGUUGAGGUAGGUCAAGCACCGAAGAAGAAGACCACCUCUCGUGCUUUCUCUCUCUCUCUCUCGUCUCUCACUCACAAUUUUUAUAUUGUGGCUGACCUAAAUUUUGUCGCCCCCCCCCCCCUUUUAUAUGCAUGCACAAAGUCCCCCACCAAGGAAAGAAAAUGUGUUAAAAUAUUAUAAAAUCUUCGCUUUUGUUUUUCUUUCCCCUCUCGGGUGCGCUCAAAAUCUGCGACUUUCAUGUUUUCGAACGAAGAAUAUAUCACGCCGUGUACGCUUCUUGCUGAUACAUUGCAUGAAUAUAUAAAACGUCGACUACCAUAUCAUCCUUUCUUUUUAUUCAUUUUCAUUGGUCAAAUUUUCCUUUUAUGCUCUUGAAUGAAUAUUGACACGAUAUUUCUUUUGGUCUUGUUCCGAUCGUGAAUUUUCCUCUAGAUAUUUGACGAAGAUAUCCAUUUCUUGUUUGAAAUAAAGAAAUGCCUUCUUAUCUAUCAAGCUUAAAACCGUUCGUUCGAGUCCAUCCACCAUCGUUGACCCAAUGUGAAUGCAAUAAAUAGAAAAAUGAAUGCACCUAAAAUUAUAUGUUAUGCAAUUAAUAUUUUUUCAGGGAUAAAAUUAACCCAUAAUUUUCUACGCAAUAAAUAAAUGACCAGAUCGCCAAAAUUUAGGUGUCAACCGUUGCCCCUCUUUGAAGGUGAGCUCGAAGAGAUUGCCUUCAAAGACAAAUUGAGACCUAAAUUUUGAUUAUGCACAUGCAAUGAAUGAUUUUUUUUUUUUAGGAAAAUGAAUUCCAUUUUUUUUUAAUGCAAUUUAUAUUAUGCAUGAAAAUGCUAAUGCAAAUGAUAAAUGAACCUACCUGGAAUAACUUACCUUCAAAGAGGAUAUAGUAGUUUGAGGUAGUUGGUGUUAUAUGUUCAAGACCCAUACCAUUCUACGGUCGCCUAGAAUAGUAACAUGACUUUAUGAAGAGACUGCUUUCCCAGGACCCGUACCAUUCUACAAUCGCCCAGUAUGGCAGUGUUUGGUUGUCUAGGACCCGUACCAUUCUACGGUCACCAUGACGGAAAAUUGAUUUUUUCAGGACCCGUAUCAUUCUACGGUCGCCUGAAUGGGGAUUCAUUCUCCAGGAUCCGUCCCAUUCUACGGUCGCCUAAAUAAGGAAUAGGUGUUGUCGAGGACUCGUACAAUUCUACGGUCGCCUUGACAGGAAAUUGAUUUUUCAGGACCCGUACCAUUCUAUGGUCGCCUAAAUGAGGAAAUCGCUUUUCCAAGAUCCAUAUCAUUCUACGGUCGCCUAUUAGAGCAAUAAAUGUUGUUUAGGACCCGUACCAUUCUACGGUCGCCUAAACGGGGAUUCACUUUCCAGGACCCGUACUAUUCUACGGUCGCCUGAAUAAGGAAUAGGUGUUGUCGAGGACUCGUACCAUUCUACGGUCGCCUUGACAGGAAAUUGAUUCUUCAGGACUCGUACCAUUCUACGAUCGCCUGAAUAAGGAAAUUACUUUUCCAGGACUCGUAUCAUUCUACAGUUGCCUGUUAGAGCAAUAAAUGUCGUUUAGGACCCGUACCAUUCUAUGGUCGCCUAAACGUAGAUUUUGCUUGGCUAUGACCCGAACCAUUCUUCGAUCGCCCAGCGUUGCAACAUAGAUCAUCUGACCAGGACCCGAACCAUUCUUCGGUCGCCUGAAUCUUGAAAAAAUCUUUGGGGGGCAACUCCAUCGAGUGCUAGUGCUUGAAAAGGAAUACCUGUACAAUGACAAGUAUUUAAGGUGACAUCUCUGAUCUUUAAGGAUAUGUCUCCUAAAUUAAUGAAGUGACUCCCAUGUCGAUGAAGGGGAAUUUUGGGCUACGGAAGCAUGCCGAUUUACUAGGUCAUAUCAAGGGACACCGGGCUACGAAAACACACCGAGUCAAUAAAGAGAGAUACCGGGCUAUAGAAGCACGCCGGGUCGAUGAAAUGGACUCUGGGCUAUGGAAGCACGCCAGGUUAAUAUAAAGGACACCGAGCUACAAAAGCACGUCGAGUCGAUGAAAGGGACUCUAGGCUACGAAAGCACGCCGGGUCAAUAUAAAAGACAGCUUGACUGAGUCAAGUGUUGAUGCACUUGGGAGAGAAUACCUGCACAAUGACAAGUAUUUAGAGUAUGGGUAGAGAUAUACUUACCUAGUGACAUCUCUGAUUCUUGGGGAUAUGUCUUCUUGGAUUUAGAUAUCCUGUAGAGGUCUCUCACCUCCUGGUAGAAAUUUGGAACAUCAAGGAUGGACCUUCAAUGUUUGCGAUAAUUCCUCAUCUCCUAAUAUCAUGAGGCAUUCUGAAAGGAACUUGAAUGUCAGGAGCUCUUGGGUCUUUGAGAAAACAUUACCUGUCAGACAUGAUUAGAGCAAAAAUGCAUUCACCAAAAAAAUAAGCAAUUAAUGCUAUUCUGGAACGCACGCUUCAAAACCCACUGAAGUUUUUUAUCAAUUCAAUCGGGGUUCAUGCAUAAUGACCUUUGCAUUACCCAAAUUUCAACUAGAGAACUACCAUUCAAGACGAUGACAUGAAUUUCCUAAGAAUACCAAAUAAGAGACCUUCAGUUAGAGAUGACUUUCACUCACUCUCAUUUAGAGGCUAUUUUAUGAGAAUUACUCCAUCUCACUAUCAUCAUACCAACAAGGGUCUAAGUAUUCUCGCAAGCGGUACGACCUUACCAAUUUGAGAUGUCUUUAAUAAGGACCGUAAUGUGGGCUUGGUCAAUGGCUUAACAAAGGGACUCUUUGAGUCAAGGCUAUUGAAAAAACAACUUCGCAAUUAUCUCCGGGUUUACAAGUCAAGAACCCUGCAAAAUGAGAAAGAAAUAAUCUUGCUCGCAUCUCUUCGAGCGAUGCUUAUAAACAUAUGAACUCCUAUGUUAAUUCAAGUGCCAUAAUCUGAAGAGAGUUUGUAAAGGACGUAACGUAGGCUGGGUUCAUGGGUUAAGAAAUGAAAAGAUCAUUAGGCUCAAAAUGCAUGUGAAUGGCGAGAGUUGGUGAUCAUCUUGGCAUUGCCACCAGUUUUCUUUUUCAUCAUCGAAGAUUGUCUUCAUGAAAUGCCCCAUUGAUUGUAAAAACUCAACUUUUGAGUUCUUUGAGUAUUGCUCCAUCAGGAUUCAAUUCUUGCAAUUGACAGUCACCUUAUCUUGACUCUCUUUUUCAUCUAUGGGCAUUGGCCUUACUUUUACUAGGCACACCGCUUUUUCAUGCCCCUAGUUCUUAUUUAUUUUUUUCACUUUUUUUUCAUGAGCAUUGGUCUUGCUUUUACCAGGCACACUACUUUUUCAUGCUUCUUAGUUCUAUUUUGAAUUCAAUUCUUGCGCACAAUGCAUGCGUCAAACAAUUGCACUUUGAAUGACACUCGAACCUUUCAAGAGUCUUCAUCUGCCUUUUGCCCUGCCCCAGUGUGGAAGGAUGAUCACCAACUAGGUUUGAAGAAAUGAAAUUGCAGGCUCAAGUAGGCUACGCAAAGGAUAUAAGUGUUUAGGAUAGAGAAAGGAAUGCUCUUCGUCAUCCUAGGGCACUUAAAUUACCACAUGAAUUCAAUGUAAUAGCAUGACUAAAAGAUUGAUGCAAGUGAGAGCAAUAAAAUUUUAAUUCAUUUUGCUCACUUUAUGAUGCUGUCUUACCUCCAACUUGCCCCAAUGUGGGGUUGUUCUUGACAGGGGUAAUUUGAAAGAAUUUUCACAAGUGUAUGGAGCUCAAAGGGGUUAAGCAAUGGAUCAUAUGUAGUGUUUGGGAUAGAAAAAUGAAUUGCCCCUCAUCAUUUUGAUUAUCGUACUUUUUGCAAGAAAACUCUUUACCUUGCGGGUAUGGAACUUCCUACACUCAUCUUACAAGUGUAUAAGUAAGGGACUGUGUAUAGUCUGGAAGGAAAUGAAUGCCACCAGUAGUGCACAAAAGGGACAACAAGGGAAAUUCCCGAUAACCUACAUGUGAGGAUAGGUCGAUAAACAUGAGAAGUUCAAACAACGACUUAAUCGGGCAAUCAAACUUGAAAAGCUAAUGGCUAGAUCAAUGCCGGUGGGGUAUAUAUCUUAGGCAACCCCAAGCUGGGUAGGCGCCCAUUGAGACUCCAAUCACAUAAAAUCUGGACCCAAUCUGUAACCGGUCAACUAAUUCUUCAAUAUCUAAUGCCUCAUUUUUCACAGUGUGAGAUGGAUUUGGAUCACUAUCCCCAUAACCUGCUCUGUUGUAGAAGAGAGUAUAUUUUUAGCUCCUCCAUAAGUUCCUGUAAAAGAAAACAUGAUGAUGAUUGUACCAUAAUCAUCAAGACUUCUACCACAUUUGAUAAAGAUGCAGAAAUGCCGGCAAUCAAUCACCAUUAGUAAAGGACUACAUGCAUCAGAUUGGGAAGUCAAAAGGCAUUACUGCAAAGGGCAACCUGAAAAUCCAUGAUGCAAAGACAAAUCAUAUUUUUGUUCAGUGCGAAAUGCCACAAACAGUUUUUACUUUUCUUCACCCAAAACAACCUCAGUUCAACAUCCUCGUAUCCAAAGCUGUUAUGUGAUAGUGCAAUGACAUUCUGAUGCUGAAUUUGCCACAUUUAACUCUGCCAGUAUAGCUAUUUUUUUUUAAUUAACAAUGAAUUUUCUCCCAUAAAGUACGUUUCAGGAAAUAAACACACAAAGAAACUGCAGUAAUUGGAUGCAAUGCCCGCAACAUGAGAAAUAGGCAACAAUUAUUGGUCAGUGAAAUCGUACGAUCUACAUCAGUAAAGAAAAGCAGAGACGUUCCUUACUUGUGGAAUUGGUAAAUUGAGAUCCUUGGAGCUGUCGAACCCAUGGAUUACAAUAACUGUGUACUUAGCCUCUUCCUUUGGAGCGCCGAUCUCUUGUAAGCUAAAUACCUCCCAUCACUGAGUUUGACCCUGGGGGAUGUGAUUGGAGGACCAUUUCUCGAGCCACAUAUCUUUGGAGGCGGGGGCUUCAAUGCCUGGUAUGCCCAUCCAAGAACACCCACCACCACUGCCACCGCAAUAGGCCCCAACAAGAGGAGUGGCCAUUGAGUAAUCUUCCAGCUUAGAAAGAGAUAAUGUUAAUAUGCCUUAGAAGCCACAGACAUAUAUGCAUAUGAACAGCCUAGAGUAUGACAGCAACCAGCAUUCUCCACCAGGAUCAAGAUGAUGUUUCAAUCCUAGUUAAAAUGAUAAAUCCUCUGAUAGUUGUAUAAUCACUUCUUUAUCCUUUCCUCUUCCAUUUAUUAAUAUAUAUGGCCACGGCAAAUUAGACAUUCAUUCAAGCUCAGUCACUAAUCAUCAACGAUUGUUAAGAAAACCUGUCGCAAAAUGACUCAGAUGAGCAGAACAAGACUUGCAGAAUGCCUGUGAAAAUCUCAUCCCGGGAUUGUAACCAAUUAGAAAAGUAAAGGCAACAUAACGUAGCUGUGAUACACAGUAAAGAUGGUCGGAGAGCUUUAUGUGAAUCAUAUUGAAGGAUCCUUCAUGCAUUUACUUCGAUCCGAUUCACUUAAAUCAACAAUUGACCGCCAUAAAUCGAACUCAAACUCUACGUUUCACUUUUUAAAAUUCCAGAAGCAGCCAUCCACUUAGGACCUGCUUACCAAUUACUAAAUAAAACCUUCAUUCUGACGAUCAUAAAUGGGUGAAUUUUUUGGGCUUUUGCCAUAUGGAGGAGGAGAGUUACUGUUGUCCAAACGAUUCGGAGCUCGAAAAGGCCAUGAUGUAUCGACAAAGCCUUCAGAUUUGUAAGUGUCUGGAAUUACUGAUUCCCUGAAACCGGAUUCGACACUAAAUCGAACCCUUAAAAUAAAUGCGGAAGACAAGCCCAAAAACAAACAUGUAUCAUCGAUCCUAAGGCACAUCACAUAAACGAACGUACCUUUGUUUCCACAAACUAAACCCCGGUGUUGUGAAUCAAAGAGGAAUAAUCCACGUCGUUCUUCAGAGGAUUCUUCUUAUAUUGUUCUUUAGGAGAAAGCGGUGUGAGAAGACAUAACUUCUGAGAGAGGACGUGCAAAACCGAGAGAGAGCGUAAUCUCUCUUUUUCAAAAUACGUAACCUCUCUUCUCAAAUAACCACCUCUCUGAUUUUUCUUUAAUUUUUUAAUAACUUCCUUCAUGGGCCCUCAACUCACGGGCCGGGCCUUUUGGGCGGACGGACCAACUUAAGUCCAUCAAAAUGAAAAUCCAUCAUCUCCCACUCACACAUGGUGGGCCAAAACCAACAUGGGCGGACGGGCCCUACUUAGGCCUAUCAAUGAAAGUCCAUCAUAGACUCCCACUUGACAUGGUGGGCCGAACAUAAUCCUCUUUUCCUCACUGCAACAUUCAUACUGGUGAAUAGUCCGUGCGACCAACAUACUUUGAGAGCUCGUUACCAUAUAUCUGUUAAGAAUAUAUAGCAGCUCAUAAUGGGCAUCACAUCCUGAGUAGAUUUAGUAUGCAGUACCCUAGAUCGAUCGAUCACAUUUAUAUCUCUCUCUUGAUCUCUUUUUAAUCAUUGAUAUAUUGUAUUCAUAAUUAUGAUUAUCCCAAAGACAGUCAUAAUUGGUCGACCAGUGAACACAAAACUAUAAUGUGAUUUUCCAAAUUCGAUCUUCCUCUUUUCUUCAAACUCUCAAUUUCAGUUUAGCUUGCUUUUCUAGAAAUGUCCCAUUAGAUCGAAUCAAUUCAUGAUCAUUGGCAACAUCUUAAGAUAACAAACACUAAAUAGAAAUCUUGAGAAUAAGUAAGAGUCAUGAGGGCACUAAAUUGAUGAACUCUUUUCCUCAAGAGUCUCACAUAGCAUAAAAGUUAGGAUAAAAACUUUUGCCACUCUUAUUGGUCAUCUCAUGCAUACAUAGUAUGAAAUACGUAUUAUGGUAUUUAACUCAUUUCCCAUUGAGCGUAUGCCUACACCUCUAAUACCAUACAGAUGAUAGUUCAGACAUACUUAAUGUCUAACUUGAGUUCACGUAUCUACUCAUUCAUAAUUCAUCAGAACUCACAUUUAGCAUCAUAGAUAGAUAAAGUAAAAUAUGUGGGUUAUUUUACUUUUGGACAUAGUAAAUAUUAUGUCAUCAUCUUAACACUUAGUUAAGGCGAUAUAUACAUUUUAAGCUUGAGCUCUCGAUUAUCACAUAGAUAAUAAGCUUAAAAACCGUCUUAUCUCUAUUUAUCACACAGUAAAUAGAGGCGAUUACCCGUGUGAGUGGGCUAAUCUUUUAUCUGUCCGACAUACUUUCUCAACUUAAUAUAUAAUGCACUGAGCAUUAAGAUGCAUAAACAUCAAACAAAGAUUCAUAGGCAUUAAUGAUGAAAACACAAAUUCAUCAAAUGUGAACACUUAGUGAAAUUACAAUAUUCAGUACAUCAGCCUCUACGCAAUCCUAAAGAUUUCAUAUGGCCACAAAAUACAUCUCUAGGUAUUGGCUUUGUCAUAGGAUCUUCUACCAUUCUAUGCGUAGACAUGUACUGUAAGUUCACAUCUUUUCAUGUAACCAUAUCUUUGAUAAAAUUAUACUUGGUAUCUAUAUGUCUGGUCUUGCCAUGAUAUUUUGAAUCUUUGGUGUACGCUAUUGCUGCUUGGCUAUCACAGUUAACCAAUAAUGAAUCUGCAGCACUUCCAAUAAUACCUAAAUGAUCCAAAAAUCUCUUAAGCCAAACACCUUCUUGUAUUUCUGCUGAUAAUACUACGAACUCAGCUUCUAUCGUAGACAGGGAUAUACACGUUUGUUUCUUACUGCUCCAACAUAUAACGUCAUUAUUCAGUAAGAAAACAAACCCAGAGAUAGAUUUCAUUUCAUUUAAAUCUCCUCCCCAGUCGUAGAUCCUUUCCUUGAUAACUUAGCGUAUAAUCAGCAGUUCCCUUUAGAUACCUUAGUAUUCUCUUAACGGCUUUUCAAUAUGCUUGACUUGGAUUGGAUUAGUAUCUACUCACCAUUCCAACUGCAAAACAUAUGUUAGGUUUUGUAUACAUCAUAACAUACAUCAAGCUCCCAACAGUAGUAGCAUAAGGAACAUGUUGCAUUUGUUCCUUUUCUUGUGGAGUCCUUAGACAUAAUCCGUGGCUCAAUCCUUCGCCUUUUGCAAUAGGAGUAUCUUUAGAUUUACAGUCUUGCAUAAGAAAUCGUUCAAAAACCCUAUAUAUGUAUGUUUCCUACGAAAGAGACAAUGGUCUUUUCGAACGAUUUUUUGAGAUCUUAACUCCAAGAAUGCAUGCAGCCACACCCAUGUCUUUCAUCUCAAAAUUGGAAGAUAGUCAACUUUUGACAAUAUUAACAAACUCUUUAUUGCUUCCGGCAAUUAGUAUAUCAUCAACACAUAAUAAUAUGAUCACAAAUUAAUCUUUGGAUCUUUUGAUAUAUACAUAAUGAUCCUCAUCAAUCAUUGUUAAAAUCAUAUCACAUUAUGACAUUAUAAAAACGUAUAUAUCAUUGUCUCAACGACUGCUUAAGGUCAUAUAUCGAUCUCAAAAGUCGACAUACUUUUUGUUCUUGGCCUUUCAUAAUGAAACCAACAGGUUGUUUCAUAUAAAUUUCUUCGUCUAAUUCUCUCUUGAGAAAAUCAGUCUUUACAUCCAUUUGAUGUAACUUAAGAUCCAUACUAGCCACUAUUGCCAGAAUAAUGCGAAUCGAGGUAAAUCUCACUACAAGAGAAUAUGUUUCUUCAUAAUCAAUUCCUUCCUGUUGAUUAUACCCCUUCACCACAAGGCAGGCCUUAUGCCUUUCUAUCGAGCCAUCGACUUUACGCUUUAUUUUGAGAACCCACUUGUUCCCAAUAACUUUGCGUCCUUUUGGAAUAUCAACCAAUUCCCAAACUUGGUUUGACUUCAUUGACUCAAUCUCCUCUUCCAUUGCAUGAAUCCAUUUUUCCUUACUAGGGCAAUUUAGAGUCUCAUUAAUAUUUCUUGACUCAUCCUCAUCUUGUGAAGCAACCAUGAAAGUUUCCCCUUCAAUGCCAAAACGUCGACAGUGAAUACUUUUGCGACUUGUUCGCUGUAUGGGAGAUUGUACACUUUGCACAUCAUUCCCCAUCAUGCUCCCACUCGGAUUAGAUAAUGACGAUAUCAUCUCAUCAUGUGGUUGUAACUAAGAGUGAGUUGAAUUAAAUUCAUCACUUCUCAUGUUACUCUCACUUGGACAAACUCCACUAAUAUCAUUAUCUUGAUCCAAGGUUUCAAAUAUGGAGCAAGCUUCACCUAUUUCGCCCUUCUUAGGAAAUUCAUUCUCUAAGAAUGUGACGUCCCGUUAUUCAAAUUCAGUUAUACUCCCACUUUCCUGCUUACCUAUGAACACAUAUCCUUUCGAGUGUUCGGAGUAUCUUAUGAAAAUACUCUUCUUUCCUCUGGGACCCAAUUUCCCAAACUUGUGAGAGGGCUCAUGAGUAUAGGCAGCACAACCCCAUGGCUUAAGAAAACUUAAGUCCAGUUUUCUAUCUGUCCAUAACUUGUAUGGAGUGGAAGUAACUGAUUUGGAAGGCACCCAGUUAAGUAUAUAGGCAGCAGUUAACAACGCAUCACUCCAAAAAGUGAUAGGUAAGUUAGCAUGCACCGUCAUGGACCUAACCAUUUCCAGUAGGGUUCUGUUUCUUCUCUCUGCAACACCAUUUUGUUGAGGAGUAUAUGGAAUAAACAACUAUCUUUCUAUUCCUUUUUCAUCACAUAAUUUUCUAAACUCAUCAGAUAAAUAUUCUCGACCUCGAUCGGAUCGCAAUACUUUUAUUUUCUUGUCUAAUUGAUUUUCAACCAAAUUCAUAAACCUUUUGAAACAACUCAAUACUUCAGAUUUAUGAGAAAUCAAAUAGACAUAUCCGAAUCGAGUAUAAUCAUCUAUAAACGUGAUGAAAUAAACAGCCUCAUGCCUUCCUCUUACAUUCAUCGGACCACAGACGUUAGAAUGGAUUAAUUGCAAAGGAAAUUCAACUCUUUUACCUUUUCCAAAUGGUUUUCUUGUCGUUUUCCCUACUAGGUAAUGCUCAUAUAUGGGCAAAUCGACUUUUUCAAUGUUACCCAACAAGCUCUCUUUGGUUAGUCUAUUUAUACGUUGUCAGCCAAUAUGACCAAGUCUAGCAUGUCACACAUUCACAUGAUUAUCAUAUGAAGUAAAAAGACGUGAAAAUGUGAAUAACAAAUAUUGACAUCACCAUAGUCAACAUUUAGUACAAUAAAACCAUCCAGAAAAUGACCACAACUAUAGUAGUUUGUAUCCAAAUACAAAUCUACACUGCUAUUAUAGAAGUUCACACUAAAACCAAGCUUAACAAACACCAAAACAGACACUAAAUUUCGACAAAUCCUCGGAACAUAUAAAACAUCAUGUAGGAAUAAGGUGCAAAUUCCUUUAACUUCAGCUCUGGAGUUAUUUCCUACAUAGAUCCACUUAGUUCCAGUCGGAACUCGUCGGAAUUCUACGAAGGAUUCUCUAUCAUUCGCUACAUAGUCUGUUGCUCCCGAAUCUACAGUCUACAAAGGAUUAGAUUUAGUUAAAAACACAGAACUUGACACAUUAGCAAAACUUUUAAGAGUACGAGGGUGAGUACCUUUUUUGACUCGCGACAGUCGCGAGCAUAGUGACCCUUCUGAUCAUAGUUGGUUAGCUCUUGGUUUCUUGCAAUACUCUUCACUCGAGGACGUUUUCCUCUCUCAUGUUGGUUAGCUCUUGGUUUCUUGCAAGAAUGACUUGAUCCCUUGCAUUUCCACAUAUUGAACGAAUCAAUGUGCUUGCACUUAGAGCUCAAAGCUCCUUCUGAGCUGGAAGCAGUAUAGCAAAUAUGUGUUUCCUUCUCAAAUGCCUUGAGGCAAUCAUCUGCUAGCUCAAGGUGACGCACAACAUUCCCAAUUUCUUCCAUAACAUGGUCAAGAGCUUCUAGUGCUUUUUGCUUUUCAAACACACAUUGAAUUUUCAUAUUCAAUAUUUCACAAUUCUCGCAGUUCAUUUUAUCUUCUUUGUUCAAAUCAGCAAUUAUGUUCUUAGUUGCUGAAUCCAUCGAUCUGAACAUAUCAGAAAUAUAUACACGAAUUAUUAAUGCCUAUCAUUUAUGCAUUUAUUUUGCAUAAAACAUCAUAUUAAUGAAUAAUUUCAAAUUAGGUUUCAGAAUCAAGAGGUCACUAUGUUUACAAUCAUCAUCCAAAAAUCCUAACUUGAAAUUAUCAUUAAUAUAAUUUUCUAUACAAUAUAAGUUCAGCAAAGUCACUAAAACUUUCUUGAACUUCCCACAACAAAUUGUAAAUUAACAUGCUAAUUUACAACAAUAAAUAACAUUGAACUUUCAAUAAUUAAUCAUGUCCAUUACACUAAGCAAUAUAUUCAAAGGAAAAAAUAUCAACAUAGAAAGAGACAUCUACACCUGAAACAUCUCAUACUCAUCUAAGAAAUAAGUAAGGAAAGUCUUAUCUAAUCUAUCAGUAAUAUUCUUUAAGAGAUCUGAAGACACAUCGGCCAACUACGAAAAAACUUUUGAAGAGCUCUCAUGCCACCUCCAAGGUGCAUUCACUCUACGCCAUGUGACACUCAAUCCAAGGGUUAAAGUUUUGGUCAACUCGAUCCUAUAAUAUUCUCUUACAAAAACUUCUGCAAGCCUCUUAUAAUCCGGGACCACGUUGACCUCCCAUAGACGAUCUAACACUGCUUGUCAUUCAGGUGAAAGAGUGUCCAUUAAGGCCGACAGCUUCUCAAAAUCCGGCAUAAGAUAACCACUCCAGAUAAUUUCUUGUAUCAUCUUAUUGACCAUGACCACGUGUGAUACUAUAUCAUUAUCAUUCCACCAAUAAUUAGCUAACUCUAUUAUUAGCCUUUUAAUUCUUGCAUUCUCUUCAUUCGUUCUCGGAAAUGCAGGCAUGCGUGCAUAACGCAUCAUAGUUCAUGCAAUAAAUGCAGAACAAAAAGGAUUACAUAUAAUCUACAUAGACAUAAUUGAAAAAAGAAACAAUUGAUUUUCUUUUCUUUUUUUAAGUCAACGGUCAAAGUCAAUGGUUAACGCCGGUAAACGGUGGUCAACGCCGGUCAACACAGGUCAACAUGUGGUCAACGGUCAACGCAUGACCAGGUCAAGUCAACGGGUCCUCCGGGUCGAACGGGUUGGGUCCGGUCAGGCCGGUCGAGCCGGUCAGACGGAUCGAUCGGCACGUGCCCUGCGCGUGCGUGGGCAACCGCUAGCCGACGUCACGAUGACGUCAGCCGGCGCGUGCCUCGCACGCGCAGGCAAUUGCCGCGUGCGCGUGUGGUUACCGCGCAUGUGCAUUGCACGCACUGACGAAGCCGAACUCUUUGGCCGCACGUGGCGGCGCGUCCAGUGGCGUCCAGCAGCAAGCGACCACUCGAAAUUCUCGUAUCGCUAAACACUUCAACCCUAAGCAAUCAGAAUCACAAUUUGAUCUACGGAAAAACCAGAAAUAGGGGGAACAGUACAGCGUCGAGAUUUUUCCGUCUCUAAAACGAUUAACAGUGACAUUUAACAAAAAACAAUCAAUCAAAAAUUGUUUAUAAACGUAAAUAGUAAUCAGGAAACAUGAUUAAGAGGCUCUGAUACCAAUGUCAAAAAUUACCGAUUCCCUGAAACCGAAUUCGACACUAAAUCGAACCCCUAAAACAAAUGCGGAAGACGAGCCUAAAAACAAACAUGUAUCACCGAUCCUAAGGCAUAUCACAUAAACGAACGUACCUUUGUUUUCACAGACUAAACCCCAAUGUUGCAAAUCAAAGAGGAAUAAUCCACAUCGUUCUUCAGAGGAUUCUUCUUUUACUGUUCUUCGGGAGAAAGCGAUGUGAAAAGACGUAACUUCUAAGAGAGGACGUGCAAAAUCGAGAGAGCAUAAUCUCUCUUUUUCAAAAUACGUAACAUCUCUUUCUCAGAUAACCACAUCUCUGAUUUUCCUUUAAUUUUUUAGUAACUUCCUUCAUGGGCCCUCAACUCACGGGCCGGGCCUUUUGGGCGGAUGGGCCAACUCAGGCCCAUCAAAAGGAAAAUCCAUCAGUAAGCACCACCAUGAGAAAGUCCACCGUGCCAAAAUCUCCCGAGAUUGGCUUCUUUGAUGAGGGUGGAGGAGCAAGUGGGUUCAGUCAAGAUGGUUUCGGAAAAAAACAAUAAAAAACUUCAAGAAAAAAUAAGCAAGAAAUAAGAAAAUAAAAAUUCUCAACAUAGAAGGGGACAAAUGCAUCCUUUAGCUAUGGUUUCCCUUAAUCGACCUCUAAAGUUAUAUGUUGUGGAUGUAUUAUCCCUCCCUCCUUUGCGACAUGUAUUAGCUGUCUCUUUGAAGAAUUGGUGUUACUUUUCAUGCUGCUAUGGUAGGCCUCCAUAGAACCAUUUCUCGUUUGUAUUGAGCCAUAGCUUGCAUCAUCUAUUAGCUUUCUCUUUGAAGAUUUGGCGUUACCUUUCAUGCUGCUAUAGGAGGCCUCCAUAGAACCAUUCCUUGUUUGUAUUGAGCCACUUCCAAGGUUAAAAUUUCAUCAUGUGACCAUGUUUUUACCGUUAUGUAAAGUUUAAAUUUUCUUAUUCAGGAAGGUUAUGAUCUAUGAGACGUUCAUGAGCAUUAUACAUCCAAAGUUAUUGUUUAGGGGUAAUUUCAUUUCUGGUCCUAUGGCUUAGGUGGAUUGUGUAAUCCAAAUCCCGUAACUCUUAAUUCGUGCAAUCAAGGUCCCGGAACUUCAGUCCAUUUUUCAAUGUAGUCCUCUAAUGACCAGAGAUCAAAAAGUCCAAUCAAAUCGAUGACACAGGCUUGUAUGUACAAAAAAGAAAUGAUGUGAAAAGUAUGACAGCAAUAGUACAAUCUUUUGAGUACAUCCAUAUGUUGACCCUAUCUUUUUGAAUUUUUUGCAGUCGCCAUCAUGAAGCAUGUUAUUAAGAAAGGCUCUCAGACGUGCCAUAAGCAAGGACAUGCAUAUGCAUACCUGAGUUCCUCCAGCAUCAAUGACUACAAUAAUUGGAAGGCCGAUGCUCUCAGCAGCUUCUCUUAGUGUUUCAUCCAAAUUAGAGCAGACUACGUACAAACCAAUCUCCGAGGUAAAAUAAGUUCUCCUAGUACCUCCAAUUUUUCAUUUCCUUCUUCAACAAACAAAAAAGAAGCAAUUCCUUCGCCUCCCUCCUUAAAAAUUAACUCAAGAAAUUCUUCUAAUAAAAUAAUAUGUUAAAGCAGCAAUUCUGUAUCUUUUGGCAAUUCUGUAUUUUAUAUAUUUGGUGUCGCAUUUAGAAAUUCUUGGCCAAUGGGUAUCAUUUUAUGAGUUGCAUUGAAAUAAACGGGUUUAUUGUGGUGUUUCAUUUAUAAUUUGCUCUUUAUUUUAAAAUUUCUAAUUAUAUUCUAUUAUUAUUAUGUAAUGCGAAGUUAAUGUAUCAAGAUAACACGUCAAUGAAGGUGGAAGGACGUGAAGAGAUGACUCCGAUCAUAGAAUUGGAGUUUUCUGGCGAUGAAAAUGAAGAAGAGGCACCCCCUUACCAUGAGUGCCACAAAUAAGGUACUUAGUUUCAUCUUUCUCAUAAUAAGAAAUAUACAUCCGAAUGCUUGAAUCAUUAUGCGAGAAUCAAUGAUAAAGAUAAAAAAACAUAUCAAGUGAAGUGCAUUCAUUGUGGAUUCAUGCUUAAGUACCAUGUUGCUAAUAAUACUUCUGUAAUGAGGAAGCACUUAACCAUAUACAAAAGGUUUCCCCGUAAUGUAGAUAAGAAAUAGAAAUUCUUUGCACCAUAUAAUGUAGACAUGGCUGACAAGGCAGGAGGAGAUUUUAGUACCGGUAGCGUUUUAUCAAUAUAGUCGUUUAAUACCACCUGUGGUAGCGGCGUAGGUGGUUGAGCAAGGGAACUUUUCACGAGAGGUCCCGAGUUCGAUCCACGGCGUCGUCGUUGCUUAAGUGCUAGCCGCGCCUUACCUGGGGCACGUGGGUGGUGGUUUCCCACGUGUCUCCCCAGGGUUUACUCCGCCGCGAAGCGGCGCACUGGGGUUCCCUAGGUCACCAAAUAUAUAUAUAUAUAUAUAUAUAUAUAUAUAUAUAGUCGUUUAAUCAAGAACGUUGUAGGCAAAUGCUUACUCGGUUCAUCAUCCUUGAUGAGCAACCUUUUUUCCUUGGUUAAGCGUGUUGGAUUUCAUGAUUUUGUCAGUGAGUUACAAUCUCUCUUUACACAUUUAUUAUGUUUCACAGUGGCAAAAAAUUGCAUGAAGUUGUAUUUAUAUGAAAGAACUUAUUUGAAGAAUUAUUUUGGAAAAAUUAAUUUUAGGAUCGCACUCACAACUGAUACAUGGAGUUUCAUUCAAAAUCUAAAUUAUUUUUGUCUCACUGCCCAUUUUAUUGAUGAAAAUUGGAAGUUGCAUAAAAGAAUCAUCAACUUUGUGGUGAUGCAUAGUCACAAGGGUAGGGAGAUUAGGAAAAUUGUGAAAAAAUGCAUUCAGGAGUUGGAAAUACAAAAAAAGUUAUUCACAAUUACUGUGGAUAAUGCUAGCUUGAAUGAUGUCGCAAUUGGCUAUUUGAGGGAAAAAAUUUCGAAAGAAAUAUCGUUGAUAUUAGAUUGUAGUGUUUUGUACAUGAGGUGCACAGCUUAUAUAUUAAAUUUGAUUGUAAGAAAUAGCUUGACUAUGGUAUGUGACUUCAUUACAUGUAUUCGAAAUGUGGUUAGGUAUGUAAGGAAUUCUCCCACGAGAGUCAAAACAUUUCAAUCUUGCAUUGAGAAUGAAUUGAUCACUUAUAAUGGUUCGAUAGUUCUUGACGUUGCCACUAAAUGGAACUCCACUUACCUCAUAUUAGACACCACCAUAAAGUUUAGAAUAGCUUUCGAAAGAAUGGAAAAAGACGAUCUAUCUUUUGCAAGUGAGCUUAAUUAUGAAAUUCCUAGUGAUGAUGAUUGAGAAAAUACUAUUUUUCUUAUGGAAUUUCUAAAAGUAUCUAUGAUGCCACCAAUCGGAUGUUGGGGAGUUCAUAUGUUACUUCAAAUGAUUAUUUUGAAGGAAUAGCUAUUUUGUAUAGAUAUUUGAAAGAUGCGAUCGAUGUUCGGAUCCUAAGCUUCAAACUAUAGGUGUAAAAAUGAAAGAAAAUUUUGACAAAUAUUAUGGAAGCUUGGAUAAAAUGAAUAUGAUGGUGUUGAUUGCAGUUGUGUUAGUUCCUAAAUCCAAGUUGAAUUUUGUGAGUUUAUUGUAUGAACAAAUUUAUGAUGAUAAAUCGAAAAUUAAAAAAAUGCUUUACAAUGUGAAGGAUGCAUUGGAGCGUUUGUAUGAAUUUUAUGAGCAAUAUUCUAUUAUUUCAAGUGAUCGAAAUUUUGGUGACCAUAGUUUGGGUGCAAGUAAUAGCGAUUCCAAUGCCGAUGCGGGUGAUAAUGAAGGAAUAAAGAAGUAUGACAUCCAAGCUUUGAAGAAAAUGUUUUUAUACUCAAAUGAACAACGAUGCUAACAAUAAAUCUGAGCUUGAUGAGUAUCUUCAAGAAAAAAAUGAAAAUGUUUUUCAUCUUGACCUUUUGAUGUGAUGGAAGACUACUAGCUCAAAAUAUAAGAUCAUUUCUUUGAUGGCUCGAGAUAUUUUGUCUAUUUCCAUAAAUAUUAUUGCUUCGGAGUCAACUUUUAGUACAUCGAAUCGUGUGUUUGUUGGCUUUCGAAGUUCUUUAACUCUCAAAGUAAUUGAAGCUUUGAUUUGCACUCAAGAUUGGUUGAAAGUCGUUCAUAUACCGAUUGAUAUUGAAAAGUGCAUUGAGAAUGCAGAAAAAAUUGAGUUGGGUAAGUGAUGUUUAUAUCUUUAUAUAUUGUAAUUUUUUUUGUAUAUUUAAUAAGCGAAUAUUUUAUUUAAUCUUUUUUUUUUAGAUAUGAAUUGUCUUAAUGAGGAGAUUAUCAUCUGUAAAUAGAGUUUACUAGUUAAAGCGAAAUGAAUAUACGUGGUAAGUCUAUUAGACUUCUCCAUUUUUUGCCAAUGUUUAAGAGAUUGCUCUCACUUGUUAGAGAGGUUGCUGAAGAGAGCUGUUACUUAAGUUAUUUUUGCAGGUUGUCUUGUGAUUUUAUGAUAGUUAUCAAUUUAAGUUUCUAAGAGUUUUUUUGGCUUUGCAUGAAGAUCUUUACGUGUGGAUUUCCUCCUUUAGAAGACCGAGAUAAGUCUCUGAAAGCACUCGCUGGACUUGAUUUUUUUGGAGGCGGUGCAUUAACCAAAGAGGAGACUGUAUCCUGAAAACUCUAUGGAUUAAUUAGAUGGUGAAAAUGUACAAUUAGUUUAUGAAGCUUCUGAUGUAUUUUCAUUUUUCUUUACGCAUUUUACAGCCCAGACUCGCAAAGUUAGAAAAAAGAGCGGUAGCAUCAGGUGAGCAUUGCAUUCAAUUCUUUUUUCUUUUUUCUUUUGGUAAAGGCAUUGCAUUCAAUUCUUGUUAUACACAGAACACAAGUUUCUUAUAUUUUCCUCUGUACAGUGGUUUGUACUAGAUGGUAACAAGUAUUGUGUUCGUGUAGAGCGCAGUUUGGCAAGCUUGGGCAGAUGAUUGAAUCCCACCCACGUCUGAAGGAGCAUAGUCGGUUUCUGUUUAUUCCGAGCCCUGAGGAUGCAUGUAUGUAUGUAUGCUGUGAUUUGAAGUGCAUGGACCUCAUUGCUAAAGCCCUAAGAAAAUCAACUUCCACCUUUUUAAGGUCCCUCAACAGUUUUACCUAUAUGUGCUUUGCCAAGAUAUAUCACAGAAGAGUUUUAGAAAGUCAUUCACGGGUAAAAGUCCACCGAGAGAAGGAGUUUGAAGUCACAUUACAAAGACUGAGAGGCAAAAGUGUCAAUAUUACUCAGGAAGCAGCCAAUAUUAGAGUAAUAUCUCAAUCUCGCUCGUCUUUCAUAUAAUUUGGAAGCAUCUGAUUUUUGCUACUGAGGUUUCUCUUUUCACUUGUCUUAUAGGACUAUACAAAGACCUUUGAACGGUAAUCUCAGUCUAGAAUUCUAGAUAUGUUCCAAAGAUGCUAGGCUCAUCCACUUAUAGUGAGAAUGCCCUCAAAAUUAUUCAAAUUGCUUGCAAUUUUCAUGCCCCUUUCUUAUAUUCAUAAUAUUGUCAAAGCAAUAGAUAGCAGUUGGGCUGAUGGUGCUUCAACAAUUUGGUGGGAGUAAUGCAUUUGCCUACUAUGCAGGUUCCAUAUUUGAAUCAGCCGGUAAAAAUCAACAGAUAAAUACAUUAGUAAUAUACAUUGCACCUAAAAAGGCUUUAAAAGAUGACUUGAGAACCAAAUUAGAUAUGCAACACCAACCAGGAGAUGACAAGCAGGAAUCAGCAAUGAUAACCAUGAUACUUCUCUAAAUGAUACAAGCACGUGUUAAUAGCUCUAACUUCAUAGCAGCUCCAAUUAGUAUCAAGGAACAGGUGAAGGUCACUGUCCAACCUUAAAGUCCAGUAUCAUCUGUUAACGGAAUCCUGAUGAGUUCAAAUGAGGACACGUCAUUCACCAAGGCAGGGCUGAGGAAAGCUGAGGAAUUGAUGACCGGAGCUUUCACAGAAUUCUACCAAAAGCUUCAACUUCUAAAGAGCUACUGGUAAGGCCAAUCUUCGCCAAAUUUUGGGUAAUCGAGGAUCACCCGUGUUCCUUUUCUCAGUACAAUGACAAGCUAGUUAACCUGACAGCGUCUUGAACCAACUAGCAUUCUCCAAAAUUAUGAAGAAGUACGACAAGAUACAUUAAUUCUAUCGUUCUAACUAUCUUCUUCAAGGUCUUUCGAUGCUCGACUAUGCUAGCAAAUCAUCCACCGUCUUUAAGUAAGACUUUGAAGCAUUAUGACGAGCGACUGAGAUACUAAACUUUUUCCCAACAAUGACACCCUUCUCAAUAAGGGAAAAUUUGGAUCAUCUUUAGAACCCCAGGUUUCAAGGCUUAUGGAAAGAGUUUAAGCUGCAUUUAUAAAGCAUUUUGCUAAUGGAAACUGCAGUAAAGGGAUGUGAACCCUAAGACCGAUAGAUAAGAGAGAGAAGCAUAGAAUUGCGUUCUUUCUAGGUAUACAUUUUACAAGAAGAAACAUUGUUAGUUCAAAUAAUGAACUCCUCUAUGCUUUCUUUCUCUGUAAGUGCGAGACAAGGCUAACAAGCUCUCUCAAUUUGUGAGACUGAGACUGCCUCUUUCUACCUAAGUUGUUAUCAGUUAUGUUUAUCAAGGUACAUUUUUAUGUUUUUCUGGUGCUUGUAGGUUGCUUUACUGCAUGUUUAUUGGCUUUUGCAGUAAGCAUUAUAGUGGCUGUACAUGCAAGAAAUCUCCUAAAAAGAAACGGGCGCCAAAAAUACGUGGAAACUAUAUUUCCCCUUUAUAGGUGAGUUAAAAUGUUUCUUUCAGGUUCAUUACCAUUUGAACGAUGGAAAACUUUGAAAACGUCUUCUUUAUUGAGAAACAAUAUGAUGGCUUUAAGUGGAUGGAUGAAUCAUUCUGGAAUAUCUUCUUUCUGCAGCUUGUUCGAAUUCAUUAUUUUGCACAUGUUAAUGUAUGCCGCGAACAUAUACUACUGGAGGCGCUACCGUAUCAAUUACUCCUUUAUAUUUGGCUUCAAAAAGGGGACAGAACUGGGUUAUCUGGAGAUCCUUCUUAGUUCAGGGCUGUCGUUGUUAAUGUUGGCUAGAGUUCUAUCUAAUCUUGAUAAGGACAUGGACCCAAGAAUGGAAAGCUAUAAGGCACUAACAGAAUUAGUUCCACUCAUUUUGGUCGUGGUAAGAUUGAAUGAAAUUGCUCCAAUCAUCCAGUGUCGAUACUUAUGCAUUUGAAGGUGGAUAAGUUUGUUAAUAGGAGAAGGCUUUAUUUGGUAGUUAACGAGACUAAGGACUCCACUCGACAGGUUGUGAUUUGGAUAACAUUCUGCCCUUUCAACAUCAUAUACCGUUCGAGCCGCUUCUUCCUGAGUCAGUGUGCUUUUCAUUGUAUAUGUGCUCUAUUUUACAAGGUGAGCACACUAACUUAAGACAAAUCAAGCCCACAUACAUAACCUUCAUGAAGUAUGGGGUGAUUUCAUUUCACUAUGUCAAUGUUGCCGAUAACGCUACUUGAUUUUUUCUUGGCAGAUCAACUCACCAGCUAGGUUUGCUCUUGUAGUAUUCAUACUUCUCAUGAAAAAAUUCUAUAAUACUAGCUAUUACUAUAUUCCCAAGUGAUUUCAGCUUGUGUUAGUCUCAAGCCUAUGACCAGAUUUUCUAAAUCAUUUAACAUCAUAUCAAAGAAUAAGAGCAUGGUUUAUUUUUGACAUGUUUUUCAUUGGUCUGAUCUGCUUGACAUAUUAAUGAGGAUCUAUAGCAGUAUUCUGAAAAUUGGUCAUUGCCUACUUCAGCAAAAUCCUUUCUCGUCAUAUCAAAGAAUAAGUGACCGUGAUCUUUUAGAUCCUGGGUGUAAAGUCAUCUGAACAAACAAAACUGAAUCAACUCAUUACAUUGUCGUUUCUUGUGGUAAUCUUCAAACCAAGGUUUCUUUGCAUGUAACUUAUACCGAUGGUAAAUAUUAUUCAGGUUCAGGCCUUCAGAAAUUUAGAAUUUUAUAUGUCACUAUGGUUGGGGAGAUUUCAAAACUAGAUCAAACAAGUGCGAUGCAAGCAAACUCUACGAAGCAUUUUACUUCAUCAUUACAGUUAUUCCAUAUGGGAUGCGUUUCCUUCAGGUAAACUUGCAUGAAGGCAUAUUAGAUCUCAUGAAAUUCUCCAUUGACGAAGCCUCUUCAAAGAACUGCUUUUAACGUCUUGUCUCAUUUCCUUUAAGAAUUUUCCUAUUUGCUAUGUAAUAUCAUAUACAUUUGUUCUGUCAUGUUGGUUCUCAACAUUUUCAUGACAUUCUAAUGUUUUUUGUGCCUCCAGCGCUUGUACAACGAGGGAGACAUAAUGCAAGGGCGCAAUGGCCUGAGGUACUUUUCCACCAUCGUUGUAGUUGUCAUGAGAACAAGUCAUGAUUUGAGAAGGGGGGUUGCAGCGGCCAACUCGGGGAUUGCAACGGUCGCCAGCACGUACUGGGAUCUUGUCAUUGAUUGGGGCCUCCUGAGGCGCAACGCCAAGAACUCCCGGCUAAGAGAUAAACUCACAAUUCCAAAUAGAAGUAUUUACUUUGUAGCCAUGGUAAGCAAAUGCUCACAUUCACAUUGUGCUUUGCAACUUUCGUAAUUUCUACUUAGAGGAGUUGAAGGCUGAAUGCUAGAAGCUUCUCGACUUUCUUGUUUUGCUGGCAGGCAUUCUCAUGGAUUAACCCUGCUUGACUUAUGUGCAACUGCAAGUACUGAAUGUCACACUGAGACUUGCACGGAUGCAAAACAUUUUAGGCUUCAGAGAAGCGCCUUUCCUACAUAGAAUGGCCUUGAUUGCAAUCGUUGCUAGCUUGGAAAUCAUCCGCAGUGGGAUUUGGAAUUUUUUUAGGUAUGUUGUGUUCUUUUUCCCUACUCUAACCUUUGUACCAUGAAGUAGAAGAAUCCAAUGACAUACCUGAUGGAACACUGCUGAUCUUUUACCGGCAGAAAGGGUUCCUAAUGGAUUCAUGCUCAAUGUUGUGCGAAUGGAGGACCUAGCAUCGCCAAAUAGAAGCGGGGAAUGCAACUUUGAAGUCCCCAAAUGCUUGCGACUGGAUUCGCCGGAGAAGGAGAUGGAUGUGAGCUCAACAUCCGAAUUUUUUUAGGUAUGCUGUUGGUUUUUUUUUUUUUUAAUAUGAUAUAGCAAAACUAAGUUUGCUUGUAAACUUAAGAGUGGUUUGGAAUAUCACAAUGCUAGUUUAUAACAUACAGAUUUUCCUUAAGAUCUUACCCAAUGGCGGGAAUGAGCAAUUGUUACAUAGUUUACCUUGAAAAUGAAACCAAAAAAAUGAGACAAAAAAAAAAUCCAUUAAAACCUGGAAUCGACCCCAAAACCUGUGACGGGACAAACUCCAGGUUCUUGGUUCUGACAGGUAGAUUUCAGGUUCCAAAAAAUGAGGAACUUGUACCCGAUGGUAGGUUCCAUGUUCCAGAUAGAACCUAUAAAGAACCAGGAAUCACUCACCCCUAGCACCACCCACAACAGACCCCAUAACUUCUUCGUAUGCAUUCUAGUCAUAGUUACUUAUCUUAGUCAUCUUAGAUAGCUCGACAAGCACUAGCCCUUAUAUAUGCGUGUGAAGAGGGUCUCUCAGUUAAGCCAUCUAGUGUGCGUGUCAUAAAGAGCCGGUAUAAAGGGAGACAAGCUUACCCCACCGCACAUUGUUGAUGCCUUCGACUUCCUAGACCACCUCUCUAUCGUUCUCGAGCUCUGCAAUUGCUACACCCCCUUCGGCUCAUCACCAAACACACUCUCUCAGAGCCUAAGGCUUGCCAUGUCGUCAAACGGGUGCAUUAUCAUCGUCCAUCGUGAUGUGAAGCCCGAAAACAUCUUGAUCGACUGAUGGAACAACCCGUAGCUCACUGACUUCGGGUCGACGAUUGCUUAGUGUUGAGGAAAACUUAGGCAACAAUUCAUCACAAACUAAACCCAAUCCAAGAUCAAUUUCUCUCCCCGAAACUAAACCGAGCAAAAUCAACUUAGCUCCAUCAAUAACCAGCCAUAUAUAACCUCAAAAUAAGCAAAUAUAAUGCAUAAAUGAUAAGUAGACAAAGUCAACAACAAUACCAAGGUUUUAACGUGAAAACCCAAUGUCAGAAAAAUUACAGAUCGUCCAAAAACUUUUACUAAUCACUAAGAAUAGUAGAAUACAUAAAGUAUUUUUCUCCAGUCACACACUAGGCUCCUCAUAAAUAUUAUAGGUUCAUUUCCUCACCACAAAAGUGGAUAAACAUAAAUGGGGCAACCAUAACCGUAAUUGGAGAAUUCAUAGGUGAAUCUUGAUGAACGAAAAUCAUUAACUUGUAGCUCUCAAUCUCAUGAACGACAUAUUCUAAUUUGAGCCAAUUCCGUUAAUACGACAUAUUCUAAUUUAAGCCAAUUCCGUCAAUAUUUGACUUUCGAAUGGAAGCUCCAAAGUUCUGCCUCUUUUUCUUUUCUUCUUCUCCACACUCUUGGGUAACUCUCUCGAGUGGGGACACUCUCUCUUCCUCUCUCUCCUCUGGUCUUGCCCGAGGCAACCACUUACUUUUCUUUUUGUUGUUUUCUUUCCUUUUGACUUUUCUUCCUUUUUCUCUUUUGUUUUUCUUUUGUUUUGUUUUAUGUUAGCUAGGCCCACAAGAGGUGGACCCAACCAGCACUUAUUGACGAGGGCAAGGAUGAUGGUGGAGGGCAAGAUGGGGAUCCAGUUCUACGCUCCGCUAGAAGUGCUGCUCGGGAGGGAAUCACCGUCCAACAAAUAAAGAAAUCAAACAUGCUUAUCAAAAUCUCCCUUCAAAUUCCUAAACUGGACUUGAGCAGGUCCUUAAAAGAAUCACGGAGGAAACAGGCGGGAGGACCGCCCUGGGGUGAGAGACCCCGCAUUGUCCUCCUAUUCCCUCUCUGUCGGGAAGCCAAAGAUAGACAGGGAAUUAAGGGACUUCACAAUGGUAAAGAUAGAUACUACGUCAAAACUUCUAUUUUGGCUAUUAUUAGGUAGGCAGGUAUAAUAGCAUCUCGCACCUGAAGUGAGUAAGGGUGAGUUAAAUGCUCACAAAUGGGUUGACACGCCUUACGGCACUAUUCUCAACCAGAACAAGCAAAAUUCUAAUAGGAAGAAACCUCUUUUAACUCCAUAAGAAAAAAAAAUCCAAUUCACACUUGAGCAAUGCCAGCGCUAGGUUGUUGUGGUUGGUGGUGGGGGUUUCCUGGGCAACGUGAUGGGAUGAAUAAAAGAAAUGCAAAGUGCAAAAGGAACGAGAGACUAAUCAGUGAGCUCCAUUUAGACAUGUGGCAAGUGCUAAAUUAAGUAUUUUACUACCUAUAUGGCAAGACAAGCUUAUUUGAUAUUUUCUCGAAUAGCUAUGACUUUGCAAGGUCUUCUUUAAAUUAUUAUGAGAUCAUUACACAAAUGGUUCAUGAAUUUAUUACAUGAACUUUAGCUCAAUAUAUAAUAUCAUCUCUCAAUUUUUUUUUAUGUUCAAUAUGAUUCAUGAACUUUUGGUACAUAUUUAAUCUAGUUUCCGAAUUAUAUGAAAAUAUCUUAUAUCGUCCAUGAAAUUGAAUUAAUAAAAGAACAAUAAAUUAAAAUUUCAAUUACUACAAUACAUAUUAAGCUAAAGAUAAUAUUAAAUAAAUUAGAACUUUAGGAAUUACAUUACACAUUAAACUAAAAUUAUUUAAGGAUUAAUUGUGGUGGCGGGAUGAACUCAACGGUAGAGGCGGCAGCGCGGACUUCCAUGAUUCCAUCUUCCCUGAAAUAAUAUCCUUGGAGGGCGGGAUGAACUCAACGGUAGAGGAGGCAAAGCGGACUUCCACCUUCCCUAAAAUAAUAUUCUUGUGGGGUGGGACUUUCUUGGCAAUCACGUUCCGAUGACGUCAGCAAUGACGUUCUUGACGCGGAGAAGAUACUUACUACAUGGUCAGAGCAGCAGGUGUCGUUCUUAUUCUUGAUCAUUAUAUUGUACCGCGGCCAGCACGACCAAUCAAAUAUGCCAAGGCUGCCAAACGCGCUGAACUACAAGCGGCUUUUUUAAAAUAGGUGAAUCUCACUAAAUUAGUUCUUUGAAUUUCGCGUGGUGUUGCAUAGGAAAUUAUAAGGGUGCGCUAAGCAAUGCUUUCUACUCCCGUGAAUAGGAAUCCAAUGAAUAUUCGAGUAGUACAAAAGCAGUUGAAGUAGAUAAUUUAUUGUAACGACCCGAUGCUUAUUAUUCGACUUUUGUCUGUGAAAGUCAACUUUUUAAUUGUCACGAAGAACAAAAACUGAUCAUAAUAUGAAAAACAAAAGUAAAUGGAGUGAUAUUCGAGCUCUACACCACAUUAAUGAGCAUAUUAUUAUAUUUUGUUUUUUUUAACUCUUUUGAUUUGUUCUUCAUCUUAUUUGUAACUCAUUUACUUAGCACUUUUUCGUUUAGAUUAUUUUUAUUUUUUGUUUGCAUAUACGUGACUAAAAUAGCAUCAUAAGUAAAUGUAAUUUAAAUGAAUUCAUAGAAAAUAUAAACAGCAUAAAAUAUCAUUUAAUAUCCAAACAUACCUUAGUUUCUCUUAUAUUUUGUAGAAAAAAGGGUGGGUGAUGCUAGGAUAUACACCUAGCAAUUUAAGAUCGCAAGAUACUUCCUCGUUACCUAAGGAUUGUUGCCAUAAGAAUUUAAUUUCUUCGGACCUUUUGAUAAUUUAUGAAAAAAUGAGAUUAAAAAAGAAGCCGUGAAGGAUGAAGUAAUUGAACCCCGCCCGCCAUACUGUUUGCCUAUAUAAACAAAUGUUUCGACGUCCAUAUGCAGGCAUUACCCAAAUAGAGGUUGUAAGGUACGACAAAGGAAAACAUGGGGGAGACCAUAAUCCUCUAUCCGUCACCGUUGAGGGGUCACAUCGUCUCCAUGCUCGAGCUUGGACGGCUCAUUCUCAAACGCCACCCUCGCUUCUCCGUCAUCGUCAUCCUCUCCUCCGCUUCUGCCGCCGCCCCCACCCCGGUCGCCAACUCCUCUUCCAUCACUGUGCUCCACCUUCCACCAUCCACCGCCGCCCCAGCCGAGGGCAAUCAAACGCCCUUCGAUUUGGCCCACCGCGACACCUCCAACCUCCGCCUCACCCUUGCUGCCAUCGCUGCUGCCGCGGACCUCCGAGCCCUUAUCAUCGAUGUCUUCUCAGAUGCCGCCUUCCCUGUGGCGGCCGCCCUUGGCAUCCCGACCUACUACUACUUCACCUCGGGUGCUGCUGCCCUCGCCGUCUUACUCCACUUUCCAACCCUCCACGGGAGCACCACCAAGAGCUUCAAGGACCUUGGAGACGAGACCCUGAACAUUCCUGGGUUGCCUCCAAUCAAGGCCUCGGACAUGCCGGGGGGCAUGCAUGACCGAAGCUGGAGAAUGUACGGCUACUUCUUGGAUGCUUGCAGGAACAUGAUCUCGUCGUCUGGCAUCAUUGUUAACACGUGCGAGUCGCUUGAGAGUCGGAUCAUCAUGGUCAUCAAAGAAGGAUUGUGCGUGCCAGACAGGCCGACUCCGCCUAUUUUUUCCGUUGGGCCUUUGGUUGAGUCAAAGGUUGACGGUGACGAGGGCGGUGGCGACACAACAGAAAGAAGGCACGAGUGCUUGAGUUGGCUCGACUCGCAACCGAGCCGAAGCGUCGUGUUCUUGUGUUUUGGCAGCGAGGGAAGGUUCUCCGCUGCGCAGCUGAAGGAGAUGGCCUCGGGUAAGCUUUCGUUUCGUGCAAAAAUUACUUCACGUGCCGCUGCUUAAUUCAAAUUCAAUUCUCCUGUUUAUUAGGUUUGGAGAGAAGCGGGGUGAGAUUCUUGUGGGUCGUGCGGCCUCCGCCGCAGGAUGCGUCCGCAAAAUCAACAUCGGGGUCAAACGAUGGCCACAACACGAGCAUAGAGAAGUUCAUGCCGGAGGGAUUUCUGGAGAGGACAAGAGAGAGGGGGAUGGUGGUGAAGUCGUGGGCACCGCAGACACAGGUGCUGAGCCACGGCUCGGUGGGUGGGUUCGUCACUCAUUGCGGCUGGAACUCGAUCAUCGAAGCAGUGCACGCCGGCGUGCCCAUGGUGGCCUGGCCUCUCUAUGCGGAGCAGAAGGUGAACAGGGCGUUUCUCGUGGAGGACGCCGCUCUGGCGCUCCCACUGAGCAUGUCGAACGAGGACGGGUUCGUGAGUGCGGACGAGUUAGCCAAGCGGGUCACCGAGCUGAUGGUGGGCGCGGGAGAAGGAAAAGUGGUCAGAGAGCGGGUCUUGGCCACAAGAGACGGCGUGGUGGAGGCCUUGAGCGACGGCGGAUCCUCUCAGGUUUCAUUGGCCGCGGUGGCGGCGCUAUGGAAACGAGGCUGAGACCCUAGCGCACUCACUGUCAAUCGAUUAGCUGACCUCAAUAGGGAGGUGUCACAACGACCAAAUUAGAGUACUAUGUCAUAAGGGUGAGCAUCCGUGGAGGAUUACCCAUGGACCUGGAUCAGCCUGAUUCGGCUAAUCUUGAUCCGGUUUUCAGGGGAAUUAGGGCAUUUCUUAAUCCUGGGACCCAUGGCUCAUAUACUGUACGCAUUGAGUCAGUUUUGACAUUUUAGAACUGAUCGAACCCGGAUCAAUCCUAUAUAUAUAUAUAUAUAUAUACUCUUUCUAUUCUUAUGUGGUUCUACUAGGUAAAUUAGGAAGUAAAGACUCAUCCUUGAUUCAAUCAAAAAAAUAAUUUAAAAAAACCCCUCUUCACUCACCUCGCUACUCAUCUCACGAACGCUGCUCAACUAGUGAAAUCGCUCACCUCUCUCAGCCCGCCUUACAAACACAGCUCGUUCACCUCUUAAAUUUCGCAUAACUUUUUUUUUUAUGGUUUGUUGCUUUUAGCAAAUGAAGAACUAUGCGGUGCAAUCUUGCCAAAUUUUUUAGACAAUUUCAAUGAGGAAAAGAUGAGACAAUAGCACUAAAGAACUGGCAAUUACAAUUUCAUGGCAAGAGCGGCUUUUGCUCGUGGUAUCAUUUUUGAGUUUUAGAGUAUUUAUUUGGUAUCACUAGUAAGUUGGAGAAAAAAAGAUGUAAUUUGAUUUAUUUCCUUUUUGUAUUUACAUUAAGUUGGGAGAAGAUGGUGAGCUUGCUAUUAUUAUUUAGGCUGCGUUUGUUUUUACUUCUUUUUUUUGUUUUUAAACAUUUUUUUUGUUUUUUGUUCCUAGGAACAAAAAAAGAACAGAAACACGUUUGAGUGCGUUUUUGUUCCAAAAUUGUUUUUUUGUUCCCAGAAACACAUCUGGAACAGAAACAAGAAACAAAAAAAAAGUUGUUUCUUGUUUCUGAAACAAAAUUUAGAAACACUUUUUUCUUUUCUUCUUCUUUUUCUUCUCUCUUUUUUCUUCUUCUUUUCUUCUUCUUUUUUCUUUCUUUUUUCUUUGGCUGGUCGCUAGCCUCAGCCAUGACCGGCGACUGGCCGACGAGAGCCAGCGGCCUCGCCUAGCCACGGCGAGGCUCGCUGGCCCCCGGCGAGGUCGAGCCUCGCCGGCCGCUGGGCGAGGCUCGGCCUCACCGGAUCUGGGCGAGCUCCUGGUAAUGGCUCGGUGAGGACGAGCCUCGCCAACCGCUGGGCGAGCUCGGCCUUGCGCUCGGCUGGGCGAGCCAGAUCUCCCCCAGAUCCGGCGAGCCCACGCCCGCCCCGCGGCCGGUCAGGCUCGGCCUCGUCCAGCCACCGCCAGGUCGGUGUCGCCUGGCGGUGGCCCGGCGAGCCCGAGCUCGCCUAGCCAAGGCGAGGCCGCCGGCCAAAAGAAGAAAAAAGAAAAAAUGAAAAAUAAAUAAGAAAAAUAAGAAAGAAAAUAGAAAAAAUAAAAUAAAAAUAUUAAAAAAUAAAAGAAAUAAAAAAAUUAUACAAAUUUACCAAACGUGUUUCUGUUUAUUUUUUAUUCCCGGAAUAAGUUUACCAAAUGCGUUUUUUUGUUCAAAAAUUGUUCCCUGGAACAAAAAUACUUUUUUCUAUUUAUGUUUUCUGGAACAAUUUUUAAAUAGAAAUGUUACCAAACGCACCCUUAAUUGUUACAUAACUUUCUUUUGUCUCGUGGUGGGAGAUUGCGAAUUCUUUUCUUUUUUUUUGGGGGUGCCGGUAAAUUUCAAGAAGUAUUGAUGAGUGUGAAAAGCCUAUUGGGGACUAUUAAUAUAUUUAUGAGAUUAUCAAUUUUUUAUAAUUUUUAAUUUAGUAAUUUAACAUGAAAUUAUCAACCAAUCUAAAUCAGUGCCACUCACCAUUUUUUUUUCUGAUUACAUUAUCUCUAAAUGUUUUGCUAGUAACUCUCAAUCGCGCUUCUUAUCGACGUUAAUUUGGUUCUCUUUUGACUUUUCUUAUUGUUUACAAAUUUUUAUUGGAUUAAUACCUCGAAAAAAUUUAUCUCAAACUAAUUUUUUACUAUGAAAAAUCCCAAACUAGUACGCAUGUGACAAACUUACCCCAAAUCCAUUUUUUUACCAUAAAAAAUCCCAAACUGAUACACUUAUAAUAAAUUUACUCUUUAUUAACUUUCGUCAAAUUUUACCCUUGAAUUUGCUAACUGGAUGACACAUGCUGACGUGGCAAGUCCAAGUGAAAAUCCGUAGGAUUUUUUUUUUUUUGGUAAGGUAAGUAUAAAAAAAAAACAUAGGGUUAAUGUCACCAAAAAUUCCAAAUUUGUCACGAGCAUAUCGUUAAAUUUAUUAUGAGAAUACUGUUAAAUUAUCACAAAAGUAUUGUUAAAUUUGUCACAUAUAUACCGAUUUGAGAUUUUUUUAUGAUAUUUACCAUAUGGAUUUCCACAUAGACUUGCCACAUCACUACACUACGUCACCAUGUGUCAUCUAAGUCAACAAAUUUAACGUUUAAAUUUAACGAAAGCUAACAAAGGGUAAAUUUGUCAUAAAUAUACAAAUUUGAGGUUUUUGAUGGUCAAAAAGUUAGUUUUGGGUAAAUUUAUCAUAGAUUUAUUAAUUUGGGGUUUUUAGUGUUCAAAAAAUUAGUUUUUGGUAAAUUUAUCAUAAGUCCAUAAAUUUAGGAUUUUUCAGAAUAUUAACCCAUUUUUAUUUGUGUUUCCAGCGAUUCUUUAAGUCUAUUGACCCUUUUUAGAGAUUAUUAACCUUAAUUAGAAUAAUUUAUCAUCUUUUCUCCAAUCAAGUUACUUUUUAAUUUGGGUUAUCAACUUAUAUCUGAGUUGCUUACUAAAUUUAUUAAUUCUCCAUCAAUUAUUAUCAAUUUUAUUUGCUUUUCGUUAAUUACAUACCAAAUUUACCGACUCCAAUAACGUCGACAACCACAAUGGUGUGAAAAAAUACUAGCUAGGUCUAUCUUACUGUUUGGGCACUAGGACACUCCAUUUAGCUUUGGCCAUAUAUCUAGGUUGGGCUCACUUGUUAGUCUCUUUUGUCUCCCUCUUCCACACCUUGCACUAAACAUGGCCAAGACAUCCACAACAAACCGCACGACUUCUUCGUCUGCAUUGUCUCCCCACCACACACCACCGAUGCCUUCGAUUUCCCAGACUGCCUCUCUAUCUUCCUCAAGCUUUGCAAGUGCUGCACCCUCUGCGAUUUCAUCACUCACUGCCCCCUCUCAAAGCCCGAGACUUGCCAUGCCGUCAAACGGGCGCGCUGCCACCGUCUCCGUGGUCGUCCGCUGUAACGUGGAGUCGAGUAGCAUUUCGAUCAACUGGUGCAAUGACCUGAAGCUCUCGGACUUCAGGUUGGCAAUCUAGCUUGGUGUCAAUGAUUAGGGCGAUGGUCGAGGGUGUGAUGGAAACGCAACUCUACGUUUUGCUGGAGGUGUUGCUGAAGAGGGAAUCACCAUCCAACAAAGAAAUCAAAAUCUCCCUUUUAAUUCCACGAACAUCUGAAACCCCAAAAAUAUCAAAUUUUUCUCACCAAUUCGAAACCAGAACAAGCGAAGUUCUAUUAGGAAGAAACUCAAGAUGACCCCUCUUUUAACUCCAUAAGAAAAAAAAAACAAAACAAAACAAAACAAAACAAAAAUAAAAUCCAACUCAUAGUUAAGUAAGGCCAGAGUGAGAUCAUGGUGAUUGGUGGUGGGGGCUUCGUGGGCAUGGUUAUUGACGUUGGUGCUGGUUGAAUGGAAUAAAGGAGGAGGAAGAAGAGAAAUGCAAAGUAACAACCCGGGCCCCACUGUAUAAUGGUUAUUGACGUUGGUGGUGGUUGAAUGGAAUAAAGGAGGAGGAGGAAGAGAAAUGCAAUAUAACAACCCAAGCCCCACUGUAUAAUAUUGUCCGCUUUAGAGAUUGAGUCCUUACGGACUUAAAGGAACCCAAGCCGUUAUAAACUAGCUCCAGGACUCUCCCCUAAGCGAUGUGAGACGGGAGACAUGCCCUUAGCCUCACAUCGUCACAUUCUUCCCCCCCCCCCCCUUAAGGCACAGGGCCCUCGCAUACGCGGUCGAGAGUUGGCUCUGAUACCAUUUGUAACGACUCGAGCCCCACUGUAUAAUAUUGUCCGCUUUGAACACUAAGUCCUCAAGAUUUUAAAACACGUUAUACAAAUUAAAGAAACUCAAGCCUUUAUAAAUUAGCCCUAGGACUCCCCCCUAAGCGAUAUGGGACGGGAGACAUGCCCUUAGCCUCACGUCGUCAAUGCAAGGUACACAAAAGACUAGAGACUGACCAGUGAACCGCACCCUGGACAAGUGGCUAGCUAAAUAGAGUGUCCUACAAGAUAAGCCUACUUGAUAUUUUCUUGGAUAAAGGUGGCUUUGCGAAGUCUCAUUAUGGUACGGUUACACAAAUUAGGGGUGAACAUGAUUAUAGGAUAGACUCUGAAACUCUGAUGAAAAUCCUUCUGGUUUUAGGCUCUAAAGUAUGUAAGAUAGGUUCUAAAUUUCAAAAAUUUGGAAACUUAUUUGGAUGGGUAAGUUCAAAGUUCAAAGUUAGUGAAACCUAUAACUUAAAACCUAAAAUAAGUUCUUGUGUUUUUCUCAAUCUAUUUCUUCACGCGAUCUUACGGUAUUCCAUAACGUUAGAUGAUGAAUAUAUAAUCUGAAGCCACUAGCAUAAAUUUCCAUUUUAUGACUUAGACUUUUACUUUGUUAAUGUUGGAUUUUUUUAUGUCCAAAUAUAAGUUAUAGUUAAUGAAUUGUAGUAGCGAAUGGUGGUUAUUGCAAUCAUUUAAUUAAUGAUACACAUGGAACUUAAGUUAACCUUGGAACUUGUGAUAGAGUAGGUUAUAAGAUAUAAAGUAUGCAAGGUAGGUUCUACGUUCCAGAUUCUACAUUCCAGGUGGAACCUAUACAGAACCUGGACUACUCACUCCUAAUAUAGAUGGUCUAUGAACUUUCUCCUAUGUGCAAUGUAGUCUCUGAACUUUUAAUUUGUUCUAUGUGGUCCUUGAAAUUUAACCAAAUGUGCAAUAUCAUCCUUCAACUUUUGUGUGUUCAAUAUGAUUCCUAAACUUUUGGUAUAUAUUCAAUAUAAUUCCUAAAUAAUAUGAAAAAUGUCCGAUAUUAAUAGAAUAACAAUAUUGAACUACAUUCCACAUUGAGCUAAAGUUUAUAAACAAUAUUGAACAAAUUAAAAAAUUAUGCAUUAUAUUACAUAUUGAGUCAAAAUUUAGAGAUUAAUCAUGUCAUUUACUCAAUUUUCAUCUUUUUCUGUGUGGGAUGACGUCAAAGGGAGAGGUGGCAACGCAGAGUUCCAUUCCCUCUAAAAGAAUAUACUUGUCGGCAAUCAUGCGCUGGGGAUGACGUUAGGAAUGGGAAGCAUUGCUUAGUGCACCCUUGUAAUUUCGUAUACGACGCGACAUGAGAUAGCUUGUCCGAUUUUAGUGAGGAUAUGAAUCAACUGCUCAUGGAAAUAGGUCCAAUUCUUUUUUCCAAUUUUUGGAAUUGGUACUGUACGGGGAGGUUUUAGAUUGUGGGUGUUGAAUCCAUCCACCUAUCAACCACCGACUAAAACCUAUUUUAUAAAGUUGGAGGAAGAUGAUUUUAUCUUUUUAAAAUAAGCUUAACUUCCCUGUUGCUUUAAAGCCGUUUUCUUGUUUAUAUUAUUUUAUUAUAACUGCUAUUUCUCUUGGAUUUGUAUACAAACAAAGUGAAAAAAAAAAAAACAAUUCUCAAGUAGAUCUUGGAAUUGGAUCGUGCAAACAAGGUAAGAUUCUAGGUGGCUUUUGAAAAAAAAAAUGAUAGAUUCCAUGUUUCACAAACUACAGAUCGGUUCUCAUAGGAUAGUUUCGGUUCUGUAACCUAUUCUCUCUGAACCAAUUAUCCCUAGUUAAAACAAGCGAUCGAUGAUCAAAUGCCCAGAAAGAAAAAUCUGUUCCGUGUGGUUCUUAAUUAGUAGACGGUCACCGAAUUAGGUGGCCCGUUAUGGGUCACUCACUUUAAUGCUAGGUAAGGACAGGUCCUUUUUGGCUUGUUUCGCAUGGUUCAAACGUGCAAGUAAUGAUAUUUCUUUUUUCUUUUUUUGUCCUUUAUUUGGGUAGGAACUUCCCAAUUUGCACUGCACCGCACAAGCGGUUGGAGUAGAUUCUUAGAAAAUAUAAAAAGCACGAAACAUUAUUUAGUAUUCAUAUGCACAUUUAAACUUGAGCAAGUCCUUAAAAAAUCUUAUCCAAAUUCAGUCCGAAUUUCAAGACUUUCAAGUUGUAAAGCACUUAGAAGUAUGCUCUUCUCCUGGAAAAAAAAAACAAAAGACAAUCGGAAAGAGUAAAGCGUGCGAGCUCAAAUAUGUCAAAAUAAGGAAUGCAGUCUGACAGCUUGCCUUGUUGAAGAAUAAGCACAAACAAGUCAUACAUACAUUAAUUUCUCUAAAUACUACGUUGUAAAUCUAUAUCUAUUUAUUUGGCUGUCCUUACAUUGCAAAUUACUUCCUCGUUACCUAGGACUUGUUGCCAUCCGAAAUUAAUAUUUUCGAAACUUUUGAUGAUAAUUUAUGAAUGAAAUUAAAAAAGAACCCGCGAAGUAUGAAACAAUUGAACCCCGCGGGCGGUAUUGUUUGCCUAUAUGAACUAUUUUUCGACGUUCAAAAGAACAGUUCCCAGACACAACAUAGGAAAAUAUGAAGGAGACCAUAGUCCUCUACCCGUCGCCAUUGAGAGGUCACAUAGUCUCCAUGCUCGAGCUUGGACGGCUCCUUGGCAAACACCACCCUCGCUUCUCCAUCAUCAUCAUCCUCUCCUCCGCUUCCACCGCCGCCCCGGUCACCAACUCCUCUUCCAUCACUGUCCUCCACCUUUCAUCCACCGCCGCCCCCGCAGCAGCUGAGCUUGAUCAAACGCCCUUCGAUUUGGCCCGCCACAACACCUCCAACCUCCGCCUCGCCCUCGCCGCCAUCGCCUCCACCGCAGACCUCCGAGCCCUCAUCAUCGACGGCUUCUCAGAUGCCGCCUUCCCUGUGGCGGCAGCCCUUGGCGUCCCGACCUACUACUACUUCACCUCGGGUGCUGCUGCCCUCGCCGUCUUCCUCCACCUUCCAACGCUCCACGGGAGCACCACCAAGAGCUUCAAGGACCUUGGAGACGAGACCCUGAACAUUCCUGGGUUGCCUCCAAUCAAGGCCUCGGACAUGCCGUGG